UUUUUUAUUUUUUUUUUUUGUAAAUAAUGUGAUAUCCAAAGUUUAGAUAGGAGAUCAUUUGAAAAAAAAAAUUAUUUAAAAUAAUACUGUGACACUUUUUGUGAUUCGAUAUAUGUGAAUAAAAAGAUAGCUGAAUAUAUAAAAAAUUAGUUGAAAAAUGUGUUUAUGAUACAAGUCAAAUAAUAUUGGAAAUAAAUGUUCAUAUCCAAACAGACCCAGUCGAUCCUGAUUGGGAAAAAAAAUGUACAUUUCAUAUGACAAGCCUUAAAUCUAUUUUAACAACACGUGUAGGGCUUAUAAAAAAAUAUACUAAGUUGAUAUUAUGUUCAAGUUGAUUUACAUUCUGAACGUGAAUAUAUUUUGUUAAAAUGCACGAAAUCAUUCCCAGACCAUUACACUAGUAAUCAUCCCUGUCUUAUGUCUAUUUUUUACUACAUAAAAGCACAUAUUCACAUUUACUUUUCCUUGCAUCUAGACUCUUUUUCAAGUUAAUCUCCCUUUUGUUAAAAAAAAAAACUAUUUUAGAUCGGGCACCUAUUAUUAUUUUUUUCUUUUUUUUUUCGAUUGGGAGGUAUCCUGGUCAAUUGACCAAACUAAUCCCCCCAGGCUGGAAGAGCCCGCCCUUGCUCCUGAAGAGGAGGCUAAACUCUUUUAUCAAUUGAAAGUAUUCAGACAUAGCACUGAGAUUAAACCCAAAGAAUUAACACCUCAAAUAUUUCUUAACACGGAGAAAACCUUUUUAUUAAUUGAAUGUAUUUAGACAUAGAAAAGAGAUCAGAUCCAUCAAAAGUUUGCAAUUGAAGUCAAAGCAUUAUAAUAAGAAUAACUAUUAAUCUAAAACUAGACGGGGGAUCGAUAAGUUUGUUAUUUCCUUCCGGUUUGUAACAGGAAAUUAAGGACUAUGAGGUGAACUGAUAAAGAUUUGUACGUUUAGCUGUUUCAUACUUAGACAUGUCAUAGGAAUAUUUUGCCAUAUCCAUACAAUUGUGACUUGACACAUAAAUGGAGGUCUCAAGCAGCCCUAUGAAAUCGAAUCUUAAUUCAAGAACCCACCGCAUAUAUUGAGACUUGAAAGAUCUUGGCCAUAUCAUGGAACCUGCUGCUGUCACAAUCUAGUUGCUGCAUUUUUCAUUUGUUUAGUACAUUAAUUGAAAUCGAUUUAUUGGCUACAAGCAGGAAAAUUCUGCUAAGAGAAUAGUGAAUAUACCGCCAUAGCUUUAAAUAAUCUAAUUGAACCAGCCACAAAGGAACAAUUGCAAGAUGGAGCUGAUGUCCACCGUCCACUCCAAUUCAAUUCACAAGGACUUGUAAAAAAGUUCCACUGGUUUACUUUGCAGAGCAAAACAGUUGUGCAAACACAAAUGGAAAAAGCAAAUCAAGAAGGAAAAAAAAAAUUACAUCCCAUUAUAAUUUAGCUUGAAUUCUGUUGUAAAAUAUGUUAAAUGCGUAUCUUCUCCUUUGCAUUCCUUUUUGGCUGAUUUCCAAGUUCAAGGAUUAUAGUACUUUUCUGUGCCUGGAUUAUAUCCCUGUUGCUUCUCAUAUUCUUCCAUGGAAUCAAACUCAUACUUGGACUUUUCACCGUUACCGUAGUAACCUUCAGCAUUGCUAUUUUCCUUCACUGAUUCAUACCCAUUUUGAUUCAGAUUCUCAUUGUUAACACCAUAAUAGUACUUACCAUUAUCCAAGAACCCUGUGUCACUCAUUCCUUGUUUCUCAUUCCUGUAGCUAUUGCUAUAUCCAUUGUUGUUAUUGUAGACUGAAUUCAAAUAGCCAUUGUUGUUGUAAUUGUUGGAGUAUCCAUUAUUGUUGUAGUUGUUGGAGUAGCCAUUGUUGUUGUAAUUGUUGGGGUAACCAUUGGAGUAUUGAUUCCUGGCAUUGUUUUUUGCAAGCCUUUCACUGUCGAUUUCCUCAACCAGAAUUUCAUCUUCCUCAUUGCCAAGGGUGGUGGCCGUGGUUGCGGUCAUGGUCUUUUUUGUAGGCGAAACAGUAGAAACACCGCCAUAAAGGCCAUAGGGAUAGUCAGUACUCUCAAUUGGUGCUGGUGCUGGAGAAAUUGAUGGUGCUUGUACUGGUGCUUCCAUUAUAGGGACAUGCUUGCUUACUCUAGCCUCAGCAUGAACAGAGGAAAGAAGGAGAACAAGAAAGAGAAUGGAGACAUUUUUAGCCAGGGGAGCCAUAAUGGAUAGAUGGGAAAUGGUUGAAUUUGUUGUUUGGCUCUGAAAUUUCAAGAUCCCAAAUGCAUCCUUUUAUAAAUAGACAAAGUGCGGUAUUCUUCCCUCCUUUUGGGCCGUCGAAUGUGAGGAAUAUGGGAUAGCUUUUGGGACAUGCUGCAUGUGGGAUCCUUGAGAAUAUCUUUCACAAUUGAGGCACCUAAUCUUUGGCCAGGAAAAAAGUGUCAUUAAUUAGUCAAAAGCUGGCAUUUUCUCAUGGGAUGCUUAAAGAGAAAGUGAUCUUGCUCAAGCUUGCAACAUCAUAAAAUAAAGAAAAUGGCCCCUGUAGCCUAUUUUGCAGUUGAGUUAGUUGAAAGGGCUUAUAGCCUUGUACCAUAUGAAAUAUGCUUAUAUUAGCUUCCUUUUUCUAGAGAAAAUUCCCCUGAAGCUACAAGACCUGAGAAGUAGCAAAUCAAUACAUUAAUUUUCACAUGCACUUCCGGUGGCUCCAUAAAUUGGUCUGUUUAAGGGUGACUAUCCAGUAAUCUACCACAUGAGAAGCCAAAGAAAAUGGGACAUGGCUAAUGCACGAGAACGACUAGAGAUAAUGACCAAAUUCAUCAUAUGCAAAUGCAACUGUAAAAGGUGAAAGUAUUCUCCAUCACCAUGAAGGGCAAUAUAACAUUUUUACUGCAUUGGUAUCACCAACUCUUUGGAUUUAAUCUGAUAGUUGCUGCACUCAUGAAAGUCUCAUUUCCUUCUUUAUUAUUGGCAGAGGGAAAUAUUUUUCUUUCUCGAAAAACUAUGCUGUAAUAAUAGUAGUGAUCUUUCAGUUAUCAUUUGAUUUUGAUUUUUUUGGGGUAAGAAUUUAUAUUGCUUGGUAAAUUUAGUAGUUGUAAUUAAAUUUAGGUAAAUCUUAUGUACAUUGACAAUUUAUAUAUUAUCAUAGUUGGAUGCAUGACACAUGAGCAAAUUUUGAAUUGCAAAUUUAAAUUUAAAUGAGUUGCCGUACAUGCAGUAGUGAUAGUUAUACACUGUCAAUGUAUAAAAGAUUAAUCCAUAAAGUUUUGGUGACAGAAAUACUUACAAUUUUUUCGAGAAUCAUUUGGUUAAAGACACCACUUGAAACUUUUUGUUUGUAAAGGCGAAGAAAGGACCAUGGAGAUCUUUGGACAAAAGCAAAUUGGUUUUAGUAAGUACGUUAAUACAUGAAUUUUCUUCUCGCUAAAAUUAGCUCAGAUUGUAGUUUCUAUCUCAAUUUAGCAUUUCUCUUAUCCUUCAUGUUCGAUUAAAACACACAUGCUCAUUUUUGCUUCUUUAACAAGAUCGAAGCCAAGUUUGGAGUCAGAUUCAAUUUCUAAAUUCAUAUUUUAUUUUUAUUAAUAUGUCAAUGACUUCAAUUUUCAAAAACAAUAAAAACAAAUGAAAACAAAGUGUGUGAAAAGAUAAUUAAAUCCCAUGUUUUUUGGGCAAUUGCUGGGCCCAAUACGACACAAAAUCAGGAAGACCAAUUCUUAAUGUUCGUACCCAAAGUCCAUCUGGUUUUCAACGAACCAAAAGAACGGAAAUUGCGCUAUUAAAUAUUCUUCGGGAGCUCCCGCGAUGGUCGGAGUUGAUUUGUGAAGUGGGUGUGCACUCUGGACUCUGGAGUCAAAUCUACAAUUUAAUUAAAGUGUAUGGGCUUCCUUCCUGGAAUGGGCCGCUAUCCAUGCAGAAUUUGGAUAUUACAGGUUCUACAAGAAUCAAGAUUGUAAUCAUGUAAAUAAAAUUUACUCCCUCCGUCUCAAUUUGAUAAUCCUGAUUUUGUUUUCACACAAUUUAAGAAAAAAUAGUUAACUUUAUUGGGACAAUCAAUUUAGGUAACUAUUUUUCUAAAAUACCCUCACAUUAAUUAGAAUACAACUUUAUGGGAACUUGAAUUGAUUGUAAAAAAAGAAUCAACUCUCAUUAAAUAGGGUAGGUUUAUAGUCACAAUAACUUACAUUGAAUAAGAGUAUUUUAGAAAAAUUAAAAUACAACUGCAUUUUUCAAUUGGAAAGUGGACUACAAUUUGAGACAGAUAAAAAAGGAAAACAGGACUAUCAAAGUCGGACAGGAGGGAGUAUCUUCGAACUUACCCAAAAGUUAAGAAAAUACAUAUUUUUGGAGCAAAUUAUCCGGUUGGUCACUAAACUUUUGCGAUCGUCGAAUUUUGGUCACUCAACUAUUAAAAGUCUGGUUUUAGUCACUAAACUAUAUAAAGUUAAAACAUGAGGCCAUUCUGUUACAUUUGGCCGUUAAGUUCGCAGAUCUGUCUAUCCGCGCGAUUUCAAAGAUAAAAGACGGGGUUAAUUUAGGAAGUUCAAAUGAAUUAAAAGCUGAUGAGCAAAGCGGGGACAUAAAUAUAACUGGAACAAAGCAUAAAAUACGCAGUCAAAUUGGGAGUUGAAGAAGCAAAUAGUACAGAUUACGAGGGCCUCCAAAUCUAAUGCUCGAUCGAAGCUUUUCUCUUCAUCCCCUUCAAUCACCUCAACCACCUUCUCAAGUCGCCAGUCGAAGAAGGUGAAAUCUCCCCUGCCGUGAGACUCUUGGUGUAGCAAGGAGAUUCACCCGAAAUUUGAAUUUUAACCGAUUGCACCGAACCCAGCUAGAAACAGAUCUGCAAUUGCUUUUGGACUAUAUGGUGAGUUUGAUCACGUCAGAGGAGAAGGUGGAAACCUUGAUGUCUUGCGCCAGAAAGAUUGAUUCCCAUUUCUGACUUCUGUAUGUGUGAUUUCUUGAUGGUUAAAAGGCUUUUGCAUAUUUUCCUAGCGAGUGAUAGCGGGAAAAAUAAGCUACUUGUAAUUACCCGACCUUCUGUGUAAUUUGGGCAAAAGUGUAUAUUAAGCUGAACGUGUUCUGCCCACUUGAACUGAGUAUACUGUACACCGCUGGUAAGGGGCACCCCGCACAGGGUACAGGUGAACAAAGUUGAUAGCAUGCGCCCAAUUAUGGGUGAAAAGAUGAACAAAUUAUUCAGAGUUAGCCCAAAUUCCAUUGAUCAAUACUACCUUAUAAUCAACUUGAUACCAUAUUCAAUUGUAUGAAUUUUUUGACUUCAUAUUCAAGGUGAAUUCUAUAAAUAGAAUUCCAAAAUUUCCCCUAUGGAAAAAUCAAUUCUUAAUUAAGUUAGACUUCAGUCUGCACCCAAGUGCCAUUCCAGACCCUAUUAGUCUUCAUGGGGGUUGCUGGGUGAUUGAAGGUGAGAAAUGGUCGGCAACAAAGUGGAUUCAUGUAGACAACUUCGACAAGAUUUUGGGAUCCACUGAUAAUUGCGCCCCUUCAAUCACCUCAACCACCUUCUCAAGUUGCCAGUCGAAGAAGGUGAAAUCUCCCCUGCUAUCAGACUCUUGGUGUAGCAAGAUGAAUAACCCCAGAUGCACUCCACAAGCAUUUUUAAAGCUUGGGCUUCUCAUAUAAUCUCCGUAGCCCGUGCCUGCACCAUAUGGGUCUGGGACAGGGAACAACAAUCUCUUCUUUAGCAGAUUCUGUUGCGGCCAUGUAAUUAGGCACCGCACUGGUCAUGCCUCUGGAUUGUUGGUGCAAGCCACCACCGCUGUACUGGUGGUAAUUAGACCUUGGUGUUGGGGUUUGAGCUGUAUGACCGCAUCUUUCUUCCACUGCAGCAUAUCUAGGACUGGCGGAGCAGACUUGGAGAGGCCUUGUUUUGGACGGAGAAGGUGUGACAGGAGAGUGGAGAGAUAGAGCUUGUUGGGUCGACCUAUGAAGAGGGGAACAAGAGGUACAAGUGGAUGUUGAACUUCCUAUAUUAACCUUGCCUUUUAUCUUGGAAAUCGCACAGACAGACAUAUCUGUGAACUUAACAGCCAAAUGUAACAGAAUGGGCUCGCAUUUUAAUUUUAUACAUUUUAGUGGCUAAAACCAGACUUUUAAUAGUUGAGUGACCAAAACUCGACGAUCGUAAAAGUUUAGUGGCCAACCGGAUAAUUUGCUCCAUAUUUUUGUGUGUUAAUCCUAUGGUAGAUAUGUCUCAUAGCAUACCAAGAAAUGCCAUGCGAUAGUGUUUUUGUCGUGUAAUGCACUUUAAAGUUUCACAACUCUUUCAAACGCCCUCCGAGAGACGGAGAGAGGGCACAAGUCCCUAUUUCCAUGAGUGAAGAACAUCUGACUUCGUCUAUUCUCACUCAAGAAUCUAAUAACACUAAUUAGAAAGUAAAAUUCACAUGUGAUAUUAGGCUCAUAAAUACUAAGAAUUGUUUAUUCUGUAUUGAUUUGAAAGAGAAAGAAUGAGUGCUUAAUAUACAAAUAAGACUCGAAAACUGCUAGUUUAAACUUUUAAGUCAAAAUUACACUCUUUAACUUAUGUUGGACUUGUUUGAUGAGCUCUCUCACAUUUUUCUCUUCACUAGUGUCAUCAGAGUUUUUUAGUUACGAAUCUAGAUUACUUAUCUUCUUGGCAUUAGUUUGAUGAAUUGGUCUCUUCUUGGUAUUUAUUGGAGUACUUCUAGUUAAGAGUCUAGACUACUUAUUGAUAAAUGGUUUCUUCUUGAUGAGGUGAAUUGUUCUCUUAUUGGUAUUGAACUAAGAUGCCAAAUGUUUGGUGGGAGAUCCUAUUGAUGUUGGACUAAGAAGUUAGGGGCUUCUUGAUGUUAGACUAAGAAAUUAAGGGCUUGGCAGGAGUUUGAUAUCCAAUUUGGAUGUUAAAAAAGAGGGGGUUUAUGACUAUGAGUUUGAGAAGUAAUCUUGAAUGUCAAGGAAGAGUUUGUGAAUUUUGGUUCAAGGUAAUGGACUAUUCAUGAAGAGAGAAAUUGUUAGCUUCGUGAUAAGGAUAAUUUGUCUCACAUUGUUUUGAAAGAGUAACACAAAAUGCUUAGUACAUAUGUAAGGGAUUGAGACUUAUUCAUUUAAAUAUUUGAGUUAAAAUUGAGCCUCUUUGCGAGCACUCUUAGGUUUUUUCUCUCCAAUAUAUAGUUACUGAAUUAUUAUUUUUUGAAAAAAUGUAUACCGCCUACAUUUGCAUCCUAAAUGAUCAUACCUCAAAUUUCAACAAAAGAACAUUUGUUUCCCUAAAAAAGAUGUCUCGUUUGAAAAAACACGAACGUUGAAAAUUAGUUCUCAUUAAAUUCCUGCAAAAUAAAAUUUUUCUUAUGAAUAAUUGAAGUUUGUUUCUAAUUUGUAACCUAUUGGCUCCAACACCAACUACAUAACCACACAACCAAGUGAUUAGAGAAAAAAAAAUCCUUGAUCUCCUCCUCAAUUAACAAAUCAAACGACAAAUUCCAGCUUAAUCAUUUAAAAAAACAAAAGAAAAAAAAGAAUACACCAGUAUAUUCCAGAUAACCAUUAAAAGCAUUCAAGAAUCUAAAUCUACUAGUGUGAAUACCUGUGCUACGCACGGUGCUGACAUUAUUAAAAAAAAUAAAAAUAAAAUGGUGAACAAAUAAAGGUGAAAAAAUUGAACCAACAAAAUUAAAAUGUAAUAUCUGAUUAACAAUAGUUUGAAAUAUAAUAGAAUGUGUAUAUCAUUCAAGAACUGUCUUUUUUCGGAAGAUGGAUCCUGAAAAAAAAAUAAAAAUUUAUAUUAAAAAAGGGAAUGAUAUAUUUCUACAAAUGAAUGUAAUUGAAUGUAGUUAAAAUGAAAUACUUACAAAGACUAAGCAUUCGAUUCUAUAAUUUUGUUUGAAGGUGCGAACACUCUUCACACCAAUCCACUUUUAGUAAGAAAGCCAAAAUUGGUGAUUUAAUUAACUCUGUUGAAUUUUGUGGAAUGCGUACUACAAAUGAAAAUGCACAAUCUUUGCAUGAAUUAAUUCGUUGGCUGAACAACCUAUCACCAUUUUCCUGAUAAUUAAGAACGUACGAAAUUAGUGUAUUUUUUUACAUAGUUUAUAAAUAGUAUUAUAAAAAAUAAAUAUAUAUUAAGAAAUUCUACAUUCCUUUGUAAUUUUCUGAGAUAAAAAGUAUCAUAAUCAAAUACAAAUCGUGCAUGUCUGUCUUGUAGAUUAAGAUGCAUGUUACCACUGAAAUGUCUUAUUUAUAUGUUAACAUUGCACCUGUUUGACAAAUAAAAUACUAUAUGUAAUACAGAAAAAUAUAUUGAAAUUAAAUAUACAUGAAAUUAAUUACCUAAUAACAGUGUCAACAAUGUCAUUACAGUGCAUACACACUGUCUUUGAAAAAUGACCGUCACAUAGUUGUCCACAAUUUUUGCAUAAUUCGUAGAACAUAUUUUCUAUGUUAAUGCUCGGAAUGUAAGCAAAUAUUCGAAAAUAUUUAACCUAAUAAGAAUGAAAUAAGAUAUAGGUUAUGAUUAUAACUUAAAAAAAUUCGUUCAGUAAUUAAUUAAAAUUGAGUAAGCUUAUCGUAGGCAUGAUUAUAUAUUCAAAUAUCCAUAUUCUCUUUGAAUUUGCUAGAGCGAAUUGCGCGAAAUGUCACUAAACUAUUUCAAAGUGCCGGUUUUGGUCACUAAACUUUUUUAUUAGCGUGAAAUGUCACUGAACUAGUAAAUCUGUACCGUUUUGGUCACUCCGUGUAUUUGUGCCGUCAGGAGAGACGGAAAUCAACUUUUUGAGGGGCAAAUUCGUCUGCACAGUCUUUUCCUUGAAACUCUCCACCAUAAAUCUGAAUCAAAUGUCAGACAACUCGUAAGUUCAAUUAGGAAGUGCAAACCCUUAUCCUGUAAUAGAUUUCUUCUGCAAAUAUGGAGUAGGAGGGACAAUAUACGAAGUUGCAAUUUGCUGGGAAUGUGUUGAAGCUUCAUUGGAGGAAUACCUAAGAAAAGAACUCCGACUUGCAAUUUGCUGGGAAUGUGUUGAAGCUUCAUGAGAGGAAAAGGCAAGGAAACAACUCCGACCUGCUCUUGUGGCAGUAAAACCAAUUUGAAGACUUCAUGGACUGAUAGGAACCCGGCAAGGAGAUAUGUUGAAUGUGCUAAUGGCAAGGUAAGUGUGUGAAGAUAUAGGAAAUUCGUUAAAUUAGGUUAAUGUUUAAUUGUUUAGACAUUUAUCGGCUAAAAAGAAUUUGGAUAAUUUUUUUGUAGGUUGAUGGCUGUGGUUAUUGGAAUUGGUAUGAUGAAGAAAUGUGUGAGCGUUCGAAACAAGUCAUACCCGGUCUUUUAAGAAGAAUAAAUAGGGUGGAAACCGAGAAUGAAACUUUGCGGCAACAAAUUCUCAAGUUGCAAAAGAAAGCUGAGAAAAUGGAGGAUAAAGUAAAAAAUCUGAAGGAGAAGCUUGGAAGAAAGAAAGUGAAAAAAAUGGUCAUUGUUCUUUUUGUUAUGGCCUGGACAAUUGUCAAUGCAUCAAUGUGGAUUUGGGGGCCUAACAAGGGACAGAAGUUUGGAAGGCUGCAAAUUGAUGGCUACUAGAGUAUUGUUGUACUUCAAAUCCUAAACCAGUGUUGCUCAAUGUUUUAAUACACAGCUCGUUUUUGUUGAGAUUGUAGUGUUUUUAUUACACCUCAUUUUGGUUGGUGUUGUUUACACCAUGGAUGUUUGAAAUUGUAAUUUAUGAAUAAAAGACUGAAGUAUUAGUUCCAACAUAUGGGUGGUGCAAAAGAAAAGUAGCUCACAAAUGCAGAAAACAUAAAGCCAAAUACAACAAAAGAGAUAAUUAUCAUUAUCAUUCCAAACAGCUGCUUUACAAAAGAGAUAAUUGUCACUGUCAUUCCAAACAACUGCCAACAAAGUUAGCCAUGUUUCACAUAUAAAUAAUCUGGAAUUGUCCUAGACAUAGAAUACAUCCAAACAAAAGCUAUGCAAACAAGUCCUUUAAUCUGAUCUUCCACUUCUACUUCUACUGCUCCUUGAUGUUCCAGCCCAUCUACCAAUCUUGAAUGGAGGCUCUUUGCCCAAGUACUCAUAGUUGGUGUUGAUCCUUAUCUUGUCAAUUUCAGACAGCUUUCUCUUUGAAUGGAGAGACUGUUUGUUGGCCGCUGUAGUAGACUGGUCGGUAUCAUUGACAGGCCUAACUCUCCUCACCUGUACACAAGUACAAUAAAUAUUAACAAUAGCUAUUUACCAUAGUAAAAUUAAAAAUAAAAUUAGAAAUAAAUUUUUGCACCUACAGGUGUCUUAGUCUUUCUAAUCUGCUGCUUUUUCGUACUACUACUGGUAGCUUGUGCAUUACGUUCAGCAUGUGAACCAAUGUCAUUAUGGGAAGUAGUUUGCUCUUCAGCUCCAUGUGGCUGAGAAUUGACACAACUUGAAGAAUAUCCUUGAACUUCCACAUGAGCAAAAUCAGGCUCCUGAGAAUUAGCUCCAUGUGUUGUGCUUGAGCCAUUGUUGGUGCCCUUUGACUUUCUAGCAUGUUUAGGAGUUGGAGCAGGUUGACUGCAGCCUUCACCUCCAUUAUUUUCUGGAACACUUUUGCAGGUAGCAGCAUUGUGGCCUGCCUGACCACAUCUUCUACAGUGCAUGAUCACAUGCUUUUUUAAUUUUUGCACAUUAUUCGUUCCCACAUGAACACCACUUUUAUUUUCAGAACUACCUUUUCUUCUUGCUUUCUUGGGCCUACCAGGUUGGACACAUGCAAGUGGAGGAUCUAAUAUGGGAAUAUCACUCUGAGGCCAUAGAGACUUUCCACUAAUUGGAUAUAGUACAUUCUCAUAUAUUUGAAAGAAUAGAUAUCUACUAUAACACUGAUCGGCAUAGUCAUUUGGGUUCCUACCAAUUUUUAAAAUGGCAGAAAUUGCAUGGCAGCAGGGGAGCCCACUAAUUUGCCACAACCUGCAUGUACAGGUUCUGUCUCUUAAGUACACAGCAAAUUGUUCCCCCUUAGGUCCCCUAACCUGAUAUCCCCCCUUCCCAUUUGAUAUUGGCUUCCACUUUCUAGAAAACUUUUCCCUCUCCUCAAUCAAAGCCUUUAUUGCUGGUCCCACAGGACCACUACAUUUUCUCAUCCAACACACUCUAUUUGAUAUCCUUUCCAUCACGAAUUCUCUAAUCCACUUAACCAUCCCAAUCACUGGCAACUCUCUAGCAUUUAAUAUAUGAGAAUUAAAUGUCUCUGAUAAAUUAUUAACCAGCAUGUCAGAUUUCACGUGAAGUGGAAAAAAAGCCUUACACCAGUGAUGAGGUGGUGCAGCUCUCUUGACCCACGCGUGAGCUUGCUGGUCAUAUGCUCUAAGCUCUUCCAAAGCUGCCUCAUAGAACUCUACUGUUGAUGCUGCUGCAAUGCUCCAGAAUUUUUCUUUAAGCACUUCACCAGGGUGCUUUUUCUUGAAAUUUCUGUACAUAUGUUGUACACAAUAUCUAUGGCCAGCUUCUGGUAAUAACUCCAGCAGUGCACUAUCAAGACCCUAUAAAAGAGUUCUAAGUUUAGUCACUUGCAAAAAUUAUCCUAUACAAUACAUGCUAUAAGGAUAAAGAACAGUACUCCUAACCUUCUGUUGGUCUGAAAUAAAAGUGUAUUCACUGCUAGUUGCUGGUAUUUCUAGAUCACCAAUCAGUAAACUCAAAAACCAAAGCCAUUGUUCCCGAGCCUCCUUCUCAACAACUGCCCAAGCUAAUGGCCACCAACCAUUAUUUGGAUCUGCCCCAAUAGCAAUCAACAACUGCCCUGGAUAUGCCCCCUUAGUGUGACAGCCAUCAAGAGCAAUAAGGGGCCUACAUCCCUCUCUAAAUCCCUUUUUCAUUAGUCCCAAACAGCAGUAAAAUCUCAUGAAUCUGGGAUUACUUUCAGGAUCAGCUCUUGGUGAAUACUUGAUGUCUAUGGUGGUGUCAGGGUGAGUUUUUUGUAGUUCUGCUGCAUACCUCCCAACAUCAAUAUACUGCUGAGAUGCUGACCCUUUGAUAGCAGCCUUAGCCAUUGCAAGUGCUUUGUAACCUUUGUUUCUUGUGAUCUCGCAACUAUAUUGCUCAUCUAUACUCUGUAACAAUUGCCUAACAGGCAUGUUCAUGUUGGAUCUAACAGACUCUUCAAACUUGUCUGCUACCCAAUUGGAUGUCAUGUUUUUGUUUCUCCAAGCAUGGCUGCAAUUGGUGUGGACAUCGUAAAUUGUUUUAACUACAAAGUCUUCAGUACCCAAAGCAGGAACGUGGCUAGCAUAAAUGUACCACUUACACGGAUCUGCACAUUUAGCUCUCAUUCUUGUUUUGUCACUUGUAUACAUGUAUACAGGUCUUCCACUUAUAAUUGCAUAAUUUCUGAGAGCAUCUCUGAACUGUUUUUUGGUUCCAAAUUUUUGUCCAACAUGAAAAUGGGGAUCUGUUCCAUCUCUGCUAGCAUUGAAACUAGUGUAUCUCACAGGAACAUCUUCAUCUUCUGAAUCUGGAUCACUAUUUAAUUCCCCUUCCACAAUAUCAUCCAAUAGUGGGUUGUGUUCAGCUUCAGUUUCAGGACCAGCUUCUGUUUCAGCUUCAGUUGCUGCACCUUCUCUAUUUUCACAUGCUUCAGCUUCAGUUGCUGCCCCAGUUUCUGUUACAGGUUCAGUUGCUGCACCUUCUCUAUUUUCACAUGCUUCAGCUUCAGUUGCUGCCCCAGUUUCUGUUACAGGUUCAGUUGCUGCACCUUCAUUUGUUGCACCUUCACCUACUGCACCUCCAUUUGAUGCACCUUGACCUGCUGCCCCUCCAUUUGAUGCACCUUCAGUUGCAGCACCAUUAUUUGAUACACCUUCAUUUGCUACACCUCCUUUUCUAACUCUUUUUGUAGCACCACAAAUGGCCUCCGACGUACGAGAUUUUCUCCUAUCUCUGUUUCUUCUAUUCCUGGAACUGUCAUUGUCCCUCCUAUUCUGACUUGAUGGAGUUGGGUCAUUAUCAACUUGGCUAUGCAUUUGUGGCUCGGACUCCUGUGUAUUGUUGUUGGCCUGUUCACAUCUCCUAGAAGAAUUUUGGUAUGCAUCUUCAUCUUCACCAGCAUGGUCAUGUGUCCACUCUAAAGCUGCAACUGAUCUACUAGCUUGGACUCCUUUUCGUUGUCUAUGAGGUAUUGCUGCCUGUUGUGUAAGAAUUUCACCAUCAUCCAAGAUCUCCUCUAUUACCACUGAACUCUUUGUCUGUGGUAACUGUUCCAAUUCCUUUUUCUUCUUCCACUCAUAUAUUUCCUCAACUGUUAAAUGAUGACAGUAUACUUCCAUCAACUUGUACUCAUUAACCCAACCACAGAAUUGCAUAAUGUCUUCAUCCGUUUGAAGUUCCAUCAGUCCAUGGUUCAAAUCCCCUCUAGGGUCAAUGUAAUAAUAUAACAUAGUAUCGUUGUGCCCACACUUUUCCACCAUUUUAUUUAUUUCAUGAAUCGACAUAAAAUCAGCAUGGCAAAGAUCGAAAUAAUCAAUCUCUCCAACCACAUAACUCUUGUAUUUCUCUCCCUCAAUUUUACCGCCGUGGUGGAGUUUAAUCGAAAAUGCAGGUAUAUCAGGAACUGCAACAACAACGACAAAGGCAAACAACAUGAUUCUUGUUAAUCACCAUUUUUUAUUGUCAUACAUGUUGUUCUUCUUAUAAAAAUACUUAACCCCCAUUUGUUAAUUAACCCGAAUCAGACAACUGCAUUUUGAAAAGUUUAUUUUUUUCAUUAAAUUACAAGAUAGAGGGUUCUUGUAGGACCCCUUGCAACCCACUUAUACGACAAAAAGCGAAGUCAAUCGUUCUUAUGUCAUUUUCUAAACAACUGGAUCACUUCAGCAAACCCUAAACCCAAUAAAAACUCUCACUAAAUACUUCUUUAUACUCAAAACACAAACAACACCAUUAAUCAAGCAAAAUGUGUACGGAUUGUAAUAUUUCUUACCGUAUAAUGUGUACGGAUCAAUGAAUUCAUCCCUUUGCCUUUUCACCCAUUUCCCUGCCAUCGAUGAUCGAUUCUUCACAGCUAAUCUUCGUCUUUUGCCGGUUCUUUGAGUCUUGUCACUGAUUACUGUGAGAAGAAUGUAUCAAUUUUGAUACUUUUCACUGUCAUUGUCCACAUUCCCAAAAAUUUUACCAACAUCCCAAAGCCCCACAGUUAAACCUUUCACUUACCAGAUGAAACUCUUCCCACUAAGGCUGUGCAGACGAAUUUGCCCCUCAAAAAGUUGAUUUCCGUCUCUCCUGACGGCACAAAUACACGGAGUGACCAAAACGGUACAUAUUUACUAGUUCAGUGACAUUUCGCGCUAAUAAAAAAGUUUAGUGACCAAAACCGGCACUUUGAAAUAGUUUAGUGACAUUUCGCGCAAUUCGCUCAAUUUGCUAUCAACAGUACUUGUGGUGUUGUGAAAUUGCUUGAUCUCAGUCACGUAACUAACUUGCGGGCACAUGUAUUAUUUUCAAACCUGCAAUUUUUUUGAAAUACAUGUCAAUAAGAGUACGAAACAAUAUUAAUAGUUUGAUAUAGUGUUACUGAGGAACUCACCAACUGCGCAGGUAUCAAGCAAAAUCUAAAUUGUGAUUAAUAUAUAAUUUGCUAACUCCAAUUGUACACAGUGAUGGUCCUGCAUAGUAUGGUUAUGUUCGCUCAAAAGCUAUUCAAAAUAUAUAGAAUAUAACUAAAAUCAAUUGAUUUACCUCUGAAAUUUCGUACGCAAAUACCAAAUGCUAGUAAAAUAUUAUUUUUUGUAGCAAACUGAUAUAACCGUUCACCAUCAUCAUUAGCAAAAUUAUCCCCCAAUAUGAAUCGAGCUACUGUCAAACUGUGUUGACAAAAUUUUGAUAAGUGCAAAUGUGGGGGGAAACGUGGGAUGAUGAUUAGAGGAUUUGUAGAAGUGGUUAUAGGAUGAAUUAAGAGAUAGUUGGAGUGGACUCUUAAUUGAAGUGGGAAACAUGGGAGGAAAUAUAGGGGGAAACGUGAAUGAUGAUUAGAGGAUUUGUAGGAGUGGUUGUAGGGUGAGUUAAGAGAUAGUGGAAAUAUUUUAAAUUUAAAUUUAAAUUUGAUUGGUGAUAAGGUGGGUUAUAACUCACUACUAUCUAUAUCUAUAUGUAUUCAAGAAGGAAUUUUUAGUAGAAACCCUCUCAAUGGUUUCUAAAUUUCUCAUUCUUUUUUCUAAAUUUUUGUAUUUAUUUUAAUACAUAAAAAGUAGUGGAUUAUAACCCACCUUAUCACCAAUCAAAUUUAAAUUUAAAAUAUUCCCACUAUCUCUUAACUCAUCCGACAACCACUCUUACAAAUCCUCUAAUAAUCAUUCCACGUUUCCUCCUACAUUUCCUCCCAUGUUUCUCACUCCAAUUAAGAGUCCACUCUAAUUUAAGAAUUUCACCCCAAUUAAAACUCCUCCAAACAUAGCAUCCUCUUUCAAUUUUUUUGCAUGCUCAUUCUUAUUUUUUGGUUAACCAAAACUAGAAUCUAUUAUCUCUUUCAUCUUUUUGUGGUGUCAAUCUUAGUUUUUAACUUAAUUUCACCAUGAAAUAUGCCCGCCUACAAUCCAUUCAAUAACAACUAAAUUUCAUACUCGCAAGAUUGCAAAGGAGGAAACAUUUGCUUAGAAAACGAAACGUACACCGCAACGAUUUCACACACCAGUUGAAAAAGUUUCAACAAUUUUGCGCUGACGAAAGAGAAAUCUCAAAUCAAAUUCGAAGGACAAAAUCCAGGCUACACCGAUUAAAACGUCGUUCGUAUCAAAUUAAAAAUUUCGUUACUGUGUAUUCUUUAAAUAUUGGCAUUUCCAUUGUAAUUUCAAAUAUUAUUCCCAAUACUGUUAUAUUUUUUAUUAGUUUCGAUUAUUUCCAAUACUAUAAUAUGUCUAUAAUUUUUGUAACCCUUUUAGUGAUCGAGUUAAUUAACUGAUCGAGUUAAUUCCUCCACCCUCGCUCUCAGUUUCUUCUUUGUUUUUGGUUCUCUAUUGAUUUUGUAAAUGUAUUGAUUUUGUUUUUUUUGUGAGCAGUUAUGGAAGAGAUUAUGUACAGAGACUUCAACGGAAAUCAACCUUCUUGCGAAGAACUGGAAAUAUAUUCUUGCCGGCUUAAUUUUUCAGGUCAGUCCCCUCUGCCCCUCCUUUUUGUCAUGUUUUGCUUUUCUUUUAAGGUGAUUUGGUCUUUUACUUUCUUUAUUUUUUCUCCUUUUAUUUUCUGGGCUGGUGGAUGGUUUGCAUCGUAUACAUGAUCAAUGCUUUAAAGAGGCCAUGUGAAUAGCUGCGUGAUGUAUAUAAUAUUUUAUUUGUUAAACAGGUAUAAUGUUAACAUACAAAUCAGAGAUUCCAGUGAUAACAUGCAUCUUAAUCUACAAGACAGAUAUGCACGAUUCGUAUUUGGUUGUAAUACUUUUUAUCUCAAAGAAUUACAAAGGAAGGUAGAAUUUCUUAAUAUGUAUUUAUUUUUUAUAGUACUAUUUAUAAACUAUGUAAAAAAAUACACUAAUUUCGUACGUUCUUAAUUAUCAGAAAAAUGGUGAUAGGUUGUUCAACCAACGAAUUAAUUCAUGCAAAGAUCAUGUAUUUUCAUUUGUAGUAUGCACUCCACAAAAUUCAACAAAGUUAAUUAAAUCACCAAUUUUGACUUUCGUACUAAAAGUGGAUUGGUGUGAAAAGUAUUCGCACCUUCAAACAAGAUUAUCAAAUCGAAUGCUUAGUAUUUGUAAGUAUUUCAUUUUAAUAACAAUCAAUUACAUUCAUUUGUAGAAAAAUAUCAUUCCUUUUUUAAUAUAAAUUUAUAUUAUUUUUUCAGGAUCCAUCUUCCAAAAAAGACAGUUCUUGAAUGAUAUACACAUUCUAUCAUAUUUUAAGCUAUUGUUAAAUAGAUAUUACAUUUUAAUUUUAUUGGUACAAUUUUUUCACCUUUAUUUGUUCACCCUUUUAUUUUUAUUUUUUUCAAUAAUGUCAGCACCGUGUGUAGCACAGAUAUUCCUACUAGUUAAAAAAGUAUUAUUGGUAGAUAUUUCCCAAAAGCACCAUCCAUGACUUCUCAAUUCUCAUUUAUUGGGGAGAUCAUGAUGCUUGUAUUUAUCAUGUUAUUUUGGUAGGUAUACCGUAUAGUGCAUAAAAUACAAAGUACAAAUGUACCUAAUGGACUAAAUUCCCAAAAAGCAGAAGUUUUUAAUCUAACUUCCCAAAAGGUGGUGAUUUUUAAACCUCUUCUCAAAGGAUGAAAAAUGCAUCCAUGGAAUGCAUUGUUUCAAAUAAAAAUGCAAUUUGUAAGUACGUUGUUCUAAUUUUCAGACAUUUAUUGAAAUAGGAAAAAAUGGUUAAAAAUGCUAUUUUAUAAAAAGUCUCAUAUAAUGAAUGCAUUUUUUGGCUUAAAAACACAUUUUCGAAAUGCAUUCAUUAAUUAAAAAAAACUCAUCUAACAAAUGAGCUUUUUAGAACAGACAUAAGUACUAAAAGAAUGUAUUUGCCCUCAAUCACUCUUAAUCUCUUUCUACCCUUUAACUUCUUCAGAGGCCAAAUGAAACAAACCACCCAUUCAAAUUUUUCGUAUAUCUUAUCCCAUAACCACCUUCAUCUCAUAGAUAAUAUAUUAUUAUUCGCAGCCAACGUAAAAGCAAUUUUGAUUAGGAGACUGCUAAGUUUCAAAUUAAGGCAUAUUGUCAGGUAAUACUUAAAAGUUUGAAUUUAGGGUUUAUGAAAUAAAUGCAUUUAAUUAUUUUAAAAAGCAAAAAGCAAACUUGAGAUGAUUCUUUGGUGUUUAUUGACAGAGGAAGACACCUCACAAAUGGCAUUUUUGUCUAGAGUAGUGGAUAAUGAAGAAGGUUUCUCUUCCCUCAAUUGCAAGUUGGAACAAACACUUGGUAUGUGUACUGAAGUGUAUCUUCAUUUUUCUUUUUAUUUUUUGUUGUCUUUGGUGCUAAAAUUGAAAAUAUGCAUGGGUAGAAAGGAUGGAUGUAAUGGGGGUGGUAAGGAUUGAUGCUUAAGUGCCCAAAUUUUGUUUAUGUUAUUUGUUCAUAUGCUAAAAAUAGUUUCACGAAUAUUAGUAAUAUGUUGCGGUGCAAAAUGUAGCUGCGUAUGACAUUCAAGACUUUAGAUACAUGCAUGUCUACUCUUUUUCAGUCAUUGCUAGGUAGUUCUUGAAAUUUUUUCUUAUUCUUUACUGGUUGUUGGCGAAUAUAAAUGUUGGAUUUAUAGAUACUAAUCUAAAUUCACGUAUGGUCAUGUCAAAAUUAAAAGAAAUUAGAGACCGCUAUAGACUUUAUUUUUGAAAGAUUCUUUUACAGCAUAGAACGUAAUAACUGUGGGCAGCCUAGAAGUUUAGGAGUUACCUACAUUUACAAGAUAUGAUUCGUUUUAAAAUAUACUUCUUAUUUAUGGUAUUUUUCAUCAUUCGAGAUGAAUUGAUUGCAGUUUACAUUGCAUUUGAAGGCUUGUUAGCAUAUGUUUUAAUGGAUUUUUAAAAUCCAUUGAAGCUUACUUUAUAUUGGGAUGGUCAUAUCCAAUAUUAUCUUGAAUUAGUAUUCAUAACCCCAAUUGGCAAGGUUGUUACAAUCAACCAAGGAUAAGAUUUGGAGACUUACUAAUAUAUACUUAUAUAUUAGAGUGGAUAAAUUAACUGUAGAUUUGAACCUCAUCUACAAAUAUCCUGAUCAUGGACCAUGGGGUUUCAAGUUUUGCCUAUUGCUAAUAAUGGAUGAAAAGGAAAUGGAUAUGAUAUUUUGUUUAGCAGCUCAGCAUCCAAAUACUAUGGUUCAUAUAUACGUUGUCCGAGAACCAGUUCUCAAUUGUAGGGAUGGCAAUAACAUCUUCACCAAUAAGGAAAUGGCUCCAUACAUAAAUGUUGAAUCCCCUGGUAUUACUUACACCUACAAUUUCAUGCACUCAAUCUUUUCUUAAAGAUAAGCAUGGUGCACAAUGGUUUGCAUCUUCAAAUAAUGAUAUUAUUUUUCCUACUAUGAGUAGCAUGUCACCGUCAUUGAAGCCCAUCCAACCAUCAUUUUCUACUCUUUUAGCGUCACAAAAUCCAGUCGAAUAUACAAAACAUGAUGAAAGUGCAUGUGUUAACCAAUAAGGAUAGAUGCAUUUGCUAGAAGAUGUUGUUGACUAUCCUAGUUCAUUUUAACUGGAACAUAAUCUAUAAGAAAUUGAAAAUAUGACAACCAUUUUAGCACCUGAAGAACCUAUUGUUAAGGCUGAAACUGGAAAUGCACUUGGAAUAACUGAUGUGAUUCAUAAUUUGGUCUGGAAUGAAGCAUCUUUGCCGUCUAGAGAUGAUGCUUUUUAUUGACGUUGAACAAGGGCAGUCUGAUGAAGAUAGUGAUUCCAAUGUAGAGGUUGAAAAUGGACAAUGCAUUUUUUAGGAUGAUAAUGGUAUUGAUAAUGGUCGUACUGGUGACAAUGUUACUUUUAAUCCUGAUGAAUUACCUCCUUACGAUCCAUCCAGAAUGCAUUUUUAUUUAGAUAUUAGAGAUCUUGAUAAAUUUGUUAUCACUAGUAGGGAAUCUCCAACAAGGAUAGACUUUUGAAGUGAAAAUAGUGUUGCAAUUUGCAAGCAUAUGCGAUUCAGUGACAAAGAGCAAUUAAUAAUGGCAGUCCAUCUUUGGUUUAUGGAGCAAUGCCAUGAGUUUCAAGUUCAAGAGAGCCGAAAGCAUAACAUGAAAGUUUGGGUUUGUUCAUUGUAUUCCGAAACCAUGUGACACGGAUUGGGGUUUGUAUCAAGUGAAUCAUCGAGACAGGUGAAAUAUAAAUUGGACCCUUAAGCACCAACGUCACGCCCAAAUGUGAAUGGAUUGAACUUCAAAUAUACAAGAAGGUGAACUUGAGGAUGUUCUUGGUUAGGCUAGCUUAGACUAUAUGACUUGGUAUAAACAGUGCACAAGAUGGCUUAUUGGCAACCCAUCAUUGAGACCACUACUACCAGCUGGUUAUUAGGGAAUUGCACCAGCUAAUAAGAUGAUGGUAACAACCAUUUAGAUAUUUUUAAUUGACUACUUUGUUUAAAGUUGUAUAUUAGCAACAUUAGAAUUUAAAUUGAUAAAAUUUCAGGUAGAUACGUUGCAUCGUGUCUAUUACAGAGCACUUAAAGCAUUACCACAUGCUGAGGCCAUCUCUAUUCUCGUUCUCACUGAUAUUCAAGAUAUGUGCCAGUCAACUAUGUGUGCCAUUGUAUAUGAGAUGAGAUUGAAACUCCCACCAUUGAAUCCAAUAAUGUCACUCUCAAUGGAUGAAGAGUUGCAACAUGUAGUCCCACAGGCACGUGUUUGAAGAGCCAUACAAGAAGGGUCACAAAGAGUCCAUAGAAGGGAAAGAAGAUGAAGACAUGCCAAAAUUGAUCAAAAUAUGGUACGAAAUCAGAUUUUAAGUCAGGAUAAGUUUGUAGGAGACCAUACGGUGAAUCAGGAGGCUAGAGGCAUGAAAAAUGAGCAAACAGCUAAUGAGUUCAAUUAGACAUAUAACCAAACUUUUGAAAUCAAUCUUGAUCAAGGUCAAGGGGAUGAACAUGCAGAAGGUGAUACCACACAUGCAUAAGCUGAUGAACAUGACCUGACACAUACACAAGGUGAUAACUGAUAAGCAUGAUCAGGCACAUGUGGAGUUUGAUUUGCAACAUCAAACACAUGAACACGUAGAUUGAGAUAAACGUGACACUUGUAGAAAUCGAGGUAAAAAUCAACAUCUACCCUUGCAGUCACUAUCUAAAAGAAUCAGGAGGCAAAAAUUGUGUUACUCUUAGGGCAUUCUCAAAUGAUUUAUUGUACUUGUCUUGUUAUAAGAAUUCUUAUUGUAUAUAAGAAUUUGGAUUGAAAACCAAGUAAAGUUAGUAUAUGAAAUUAGAUGUGAGAUUAUAUCCCCUUAUGACAUAUUUGAAUAUGCAAGUGUUUGCUUAACAGGUGAUAUAAACAGUUGAAAAUGAGGGAAAAUUUUGUCCAUUUAUUUUUUUUUAUUAAAUAUGAUUUAAUACACAAAUAAUUGUAUUACUAAAACAAAUCAAAUUACCUUUUCAUAAUACAAUUGGUAACACUUUUGCUUAAACAUGAUGCCUUUCUAUUGACAUAUAGAAUUUUCACAUAAUUAUGUUUUAACUUAUUAUAUCACUUUGUACCUUCAUCCAAUAUCUACAGUUUAGUGUAUAUUCACCUAAAUAUUUUGUUUAAAGUUUUCAGGAUAUGUGAAUAUUCUAGCUCUUUUUAGGCCAUCAUAUUUUUACUUUAAACAUUUAGGAUUAAUUUUUUAUGAAACCAUAAAAUUUUCUUUAUAAAAAGUGUUACGAUUUUUUAAGACGUAAAUUACCAACAUUCGAGAUACUAAAUAUGUAUGUGCAUAUGUCAAAUUCAAAGUUAAAAAACCUUUAAGCCUUUUGCAAACUUGAAAUGAAAUCUAUACCAAUCAAUUAAUAACAACUAUGAAAUAACAUUUUUUUUUGGAUCUUGACUUGUGUUAGUGAGUUAAAUUAAUAAUAACUCUGAUAAAAUAAUAAGACAAUAUUUUUUUUAAAAAACCUCACAUAACCGAAGUCAAUAUCAAAGAAAUGAAAAAAAAGUAGUACAGAUUGAUAAACAAAAAAUGCAUUUACUAAAUGAGUUUUUUUUUUUUGACAAAAUAGCACAUUUUGGAAAUGGAAUUUUUCGUGACAUAAAAAAGCGCAUUCGUCUAAUGCAUUCUUUAGCCAAUUUUUUCCUAUCUCAACAAAUUUGCAAAAAUUCAAACAACGUAUUUGCAAAUUACAUUUUAGUUUAAAAUAACGCAUUUGGUACAUGUGUUUUUCUCCCUUAGGAAAGAAAUUAAAAAAUUGUCACAUUGGGAAAUUAGUUUAAAAACUCCCACUAUUUGGGGAUUUACUCCUACCCAGACUGUUUUAGUUGGGCUGACCCCAUCACCCACGUUCGCUAGAUACUGCAGCAGCCCGCCACGUCAUUUUCGAUAGUCUUUAAACGCUGGAAUUGUCGAUACAUCCCAGUGUGUCAGGUGGUCCACUGUCAGAAAAAGUCAAACGAUCAUGUGGCUGUGAUGUAUUUCUGUAUUUGGAAACUUCAUGUAAUGUCGAGGUGUACAUCUAAGGGCCCCGCAGAUUCCACUUCUCCGCCGUACAAGGCCAGGCGUCCGCUACGGAGGUCCGUAUCGUGGUAGCUUUAGAUUCGGUGCCAGUUUGGCUGCUGUUUGUAGAGUUCUACGGAUCUACACUUUCUUGCUACGUAGACCAGCUGACUUACCUUACGCAUAUAUUCUCCAGGCUCCAAUAAAUGGAAUAGGAAAAACAUAAAUAUUUUGCCCAUAAUUGCAUAUAUUUUAUGUAAAUAUGCUAUUCAAAAAUGCAAUAUUGUGAAAUCAUUCUCAGUAGCGGACAUACUUUUAAAAUCAUUCUCAUGCUUUUUUUUUUUUAUUUUUUUAGUUUUUAGUGUAAUUGAAAAGUUUUGAAUCCGAAAUCUCUCGUUUAUACUCUCUCUCCCCUUUAUUAUCCAACCUAUCUCUCCUCCCAAUUAUUUCCUUGUUAAAAUGUAACACUGGUAAAAUUAACUCGCCACAUGUUUUGUUUUAACUUGGGACCAAGUUAGUUGUUUGCCGAUAAAUUGACUUUUGUUUAAUGUCCUAAACUUUUCGUAAACAAAAAAAAACAACUAGAAACAAAACAUGGAUGCUAUAGUUGUGAAACCCGCGAUUUUUGGCCCCUAUUUUAUUAUGGCAUUAUUGUAAUUUUUCCAAUUAAUUAAAAAGAUAAAAUUUUCUAGGUAAAAGAAAAAAAAUAAAUAAAUAAAGUAACUGUAGGAUGGGCUAAUGGGCUCUAAUAAAGUAAAACUCUGACUCAAGUCACCUAUUAGUAAGUAUUGCUAGGGUUAGAAUUUUACUAAAACCCUAGACAGAAAAAUAACCCUAGUCUUACCUCUCUUUCGUCUACCUCCCUAGAGCAAGAGCCGUCAGAAAGGAGGGAAGGAGAAGCAGGCGACACGGUCAAUCGAUCCGACGACUAGGCACCUAAACCUGUAAGUUUCGAGUUCAUGUAAGAAAACUUCUUUUUGGUUGUAAACGCUUUAGUAGUGGUAUUAAUUGUUCUAGGAAAUCUUAUGGACAUGUAUUAUUGCUAUUUAGGUUUAGAUAUAUAUGUUUCAAUAAGAUUCGUAUCUGGGUUAAUAGGAAUAGGGGGGUUGAUUUUAACCCUGAUAUUAUAGGGUGUUUGAAUCUGUUUUAAAAAAAAAAAAAAAAGAAAGGGAAGAGCAGCGGCGGCUGCCACUGCUCUGUUUCGGCCAGGCGUUGCAGAGGCAACGCCACAGGAAGAAUUCCAAGGGUUGGCCGAAAGGCCAAUUUUCGGCCAACCCAAGACAAAAAAAAAAAAAUUUGAAAGAUGAUGUCGCCAGCACUUGCUGGGGACAUAGGAAAUGGUUGGCCUUUUCGGCCAACCAAUGGAGUGAAUGUUGUUGCCAGACCUUGGUCAAACAAAUGGUUUCUGACGACCAUGGUCUAAAAGGAAAUGGUUGGCCUUCUGGCCAACCAUGGCUCUCACCCGAAGAGGAAAAAGGGAUAAUUUAGAUGUUAAACAAAUAUAAAAUAAAAUAAAUAAAUAUUUAAUAAAUAAAUUUUGAAUAUAACUAGUCCAUUUUUAUAGGUGAUCAUGGGUAUUAAAAUUCAGGACCCAAUUUAAAGAAAUUGUUAGAAUUCAAGUAUUGGUCAUGUAAAACUUUUAUGUAAUUAAUUACGUCUAAGAUAUUUAAAGAAAAAUCUAGGAUAUCUUAGUUUAGCCUUAUGAGGUUAAUGUAGAUGAGGUGAGAUAAAUUCUAAAUUGUUAAACGAAAUGUUUAAAAUAAUAAUAAUAAUAAUAAUAAUAAUAAUAAUAAUAAUAAUAAUAAUAAUAAUAGUAAAUAAUAAUGCUGAUGAUAACACUAAUAUUAAUAAUAAUCAUAAUCAUAAUAAUAAUAGUAAAUAAUAAUUAAUGAACAAUAAUAGUAAGGAUAAUAACAAUAUGGGCAUGGAGGAAGUAAAUUAAGGAUAUAAACAAAGAUACAAAUAUAAUACGAGUGGAAUAAACUAAGACAAUAAUAAUUAUAAUAGGUCAAUAUAUAUAGAUAUAUAUAUAUGUACAUGUAUACAUAAAUAAUAAUAACGCCUAUACACGCCUAAAAGUGGAAAUAAAGGGAAAGGUAAUAGUAACUAUCUGACAUAUAUAUAAGUGAUAAUAAAAUAAAUUAGCGACGACGAGUAUGGUAAUAAUAAUAAUGGAUAAUCAUAAAUUAUAAGUAAAUAUAGUAAAAUAGUAGUGAGGAUAAUAAACGGGAUUGUGAAUAAUUAUUUUCUUCUAAAUUAGGAAACUUUACAAAAUGAACACUUUCCAAAUUAAGAAACUUUCUAAAAAUAGAAACUUUCUAAAUUAGGAAACUUUCCAAAAAAAAAAUAGAAAUCAUCCGAUUGGAGGGAAAUGCUAUUAGGGUUCAUACAAUGGUCUAGAUAUGAAUCUUGUACUUACUUAGAGGUUGUAUAUUUAUGCAUCUGUAGGAAGUAACAACUAAUUAGGGAACUCAUGCAUUUGAUAGGUACGGUACAAGGAUUUAAGAUAGUUCCACUCGAGCAGCCAAACAAAGGUAGGUGGUACUUACCCUUCUGAGAUUUCAAAUGUGCAAAUGAGAUUCUUGUUUUCAAUACUAUUUUGUUGUGUUGACACGAAAGGUGUUUGAUUAAAUGCUUUACUUGGAUAUUUAUGAAAGCUAUAUUUUACUAUACAAAAAUGGACCGUGUGACUUAUCUGAAAAGUUUUGAUAUGCUCUUAUAUACAAAAUGAGCCGAAUCUUUUAUGAAAACAAAGAUUUAUGUAUAUGAUAUAUGAAAUGAAUUUUGACAAGUAAAGCUCAAAGCAGUCAUGGAAUAGACGGUAGGGGCUAUAGUCCUGCCUAAUUGCCAUGGUAGCCUGGUAUAGAGUCCGGCCGAUUGGUAAGGUCAUGGUAGCCUGGUAUAGAGUCCGGCCGAUUGACAAGGGUAGCCUGGUAUAGAGUCCGGCCGAUUGACCCAAAUAUGAAUGAGACCAAUCGGUAGUCAUGAAACUUAUUGGUCGCCCACCUAGUAGGGGUUUAAUCUCUAGGCUGAGUACUCAGUAGCCGGUCAUUACAUGUACUUGUUAUGAGCUAAUCUGAAAGAAUGAUUUAUAAGCCGAUAUGGAAUGAAUUUAUGAACUGAUUUGAAAUGAGGCUUAUGAACUGAUAUGAAUUGAUUUAUGAAUGGAUAUGAAGGGAUUUGUGAUUUGAGACGAGAUGAUUUAUGACUUUACGAUUUCUCAUGUACAACUAUCCAUAAGAUGCUUUCAAGUUGCUUGCCAUUCUUUACUACUGAUUGCUUUACAAAUGACGUUACUUUCAAAAUUACGGAUAUGAAUGAUAUGCAAACGAUUUGAGUUAUACUUAUAUUUGUAUAUGUAUCUGUAAAACUAAGAGUGCAUGGUCCAACAGAGGGGUAAAUAUUACCUACUGAGCGAUGUGUCGCUCAACCCACUUCUUACCAUUUUUGCAGAUUUUGAAGAGUAUGAAUUGGUUUACGUAGAAGACCCUGAGGAUGACUUUUAUUAGCAUUAGAUGAAUAGAAGUUGGCAGGCUAGCUACCGCUAGUUGCUAGUCUUAUUUACUUUUGUUUCCGCUGUUUCAAUAAAUGUACGAACAUCUUGAAUAUUCGUAGACUUCCUUUUAUAUGUAAUUCGAACCGCGCUUUAUUUGUUUAAAUUAUUUAGUACUGUCAAGUUAAAUUAGUUAAUGUAGCCUUGUAUUCCUGGGUGGGACUUGGGAGUACGGCGAAUGUCAUGUGACGGGCACGUGCGGGCUCGGGGCGUGACAAUAGUCCCUUUCUAGGUAUCUUAUUCUUAAGGUCAAUUUCGCCGUUAGAUAACAGAAAAAAAAAGAGUGAAUGGUCAAAAAUGUUAUUAAACUAUUAAAUAUGGCAUGGGUCAGUCAUUAAACUUUUUCGCAGCUACAAAGGUUACUAAACUGGCAAAAAUGGGUCAAGGAGGUCAUUUUAUCAAAUUCUAUCAUUAAAACAAUCGGUAAAUUAUUGAAAUUCAACGAUCUUUUUAGCAAAAUGACCUUUGGCAACUAAUUGUUUUACCGGUAAAAUUUGACAAAAUGACCUCACUGGCCUUUGUUUGCUAGUUUAGUGACCUUUGUGGUCACAAAAAAAGUUUAGUGACUGACCUGUGCCACAUUGAAUAAUUUAGUGACAUUUUUGGCUAUUCAAUAAAAAAAAAAAAGGAACACUUUUUAGGUAUCUUAUUCUUAAGAUUAAUCUCGCCGUGAGAUACUAGAAUAAAUGUUACUUGACCCUUAAAUUGUCACAAUUAUAAUUAUUUACACAUAUAACCCAUCAUUGAAUGAUGUAUCAAUUAGUCGUUCGAUAUAAAUUCAAGGAAUGGUUCUCUAGAGGAGCCAUAAAAUUUAAGCUGACUUAUCUGCAUCUCAAUUUAGGAUGCAGAAAUCUUUCAGAAGCAAAUUUUUUAAUUUCCUUUUAUGCUUACAGAAAUAAGGUGCUUACUGCUCUAGUUUUUCCUUUUAAUUUUCCUUUUAUUUAGAGGUAAGUAGUACGGUUUAUUAUGAAUAUAUAUAUAUAUAUAUAUAUAUAUAUAUAUGACUGUUCAUAGUUUGGCAUAUAUCAUCCCAUUAGUACAAACGGAUGGUCACUAAUUCAGUACUAGAAAUUAGCAAAAACGUAGUUAAUUUAUAGCUAAAUCCUUGUUCUCUUUACUUCCAGGAAUACCCUCCGACUAGCAACUGGAUUUUUAACAUUUCCAACGCUACCCAUUGCACAACCUUUUCUACAAUAGCAAAGCAGGAGGUUCACAUUGAAGCAUAUUCCUGUUUCUAAUCCAUUUCAUGCAAUUACUUAUCAACGAAAAUUUUACUAUACGAUGGACAAUAAUUGCUAUGUUUUCGAAACGACAAAACUAGUUGUCAGUCAUAUUCCUUACCUUAACCCCAUAAAAUGCUUGUCAAUGUUGUAAAAUGUUAGGUGCUAGCAUCUUGAAUAAUCAAGAGGAGAGCAAGCAAAAGUUCAAAGGAGAAGUAGAGAAAGAUAAACAAAUUGGUGACUAACAGAGAAAGAGAAACAGAGAAUGCCAAAAAAAAUAACGUCAUUUUUCACCUAGAAAAGUAUUGCUCGAGACUCAAUUUUUACUUGUCAUUUAGUUUAUUUUGUCACUUUUAACAAUUGGUAAGUCAUUAUUGAGCUGUGGGAGCAUAUUUCGAUCCAAGACAACUGAAGUACUUACCUGACCGUUAAAAUAGCACGUGAAAACAAUAAAAAUAGUCACAGUACUAGGUAUAUUCUUGGGGAUAAUUGCAGAAGGUUUCUGACAGUUGCACUCACCUCUCUUGAGAUUUUAAAAAUACCACUAACCUCUUCUAGCAUGAAUUUGGGGCACACAGCUGACGUAAGAUAGGGUGAAUUUACUUAUAUACGCUUAGAGUUUAAGGUUGUUAGUAAAUAAAUUUGGGUCAAAAAAAGGGCAAUAAAUAAGUUCAGGAUAACUAAUUAAACAAAAUUAAUAGUUAUUUCUUACCUGAUUAAACACUGGAAGUGCACUUACAAAAUGUUACCACAAAAUGACGCCAAUUGAUACUCUAAUAUGAUGUUAUUUUGUGAUUGAUAACAUUUGAAAGAACAAUCCAAAUUGUAUAUUAUCUACAUAGAAUAUAAGUAGAAACAAGAAAAAUGUAAGGGAAAGAAGCCUCCAAACAAGACUCCAUAAGAGAAUAAGUUCUAGUGAUUUUGGUUGAUCUCACUUUAUCUAAAGCAUUUGUGAAACGAAAGGAGAAAGAAAGCAGAAAUCAAGGCAAAAUUUAAGGAUUUUUUGGCUAAAAACUUGCCGCGAUCAAAAGAUAAUAGGUAAGCAAUCAUUUAUUAUCUCAACUUAAUACAAAAAGUUCUCUUUAGUGCAGGAGAGUUUUUGGAGUUGACUGUACACUUUAUACGUUUUAGAACCUCAGAUUCUUGGAUGUAUAUUUGUUGCUUCUUCUAGUUGUUGCUACUGUACUUGUUUUCUUUAUCCUUAUAUCCUCUUCAGUUUCUUUAAUUGGCUCUAAAUACAACUUCACAAGAAACAAAAAGGGUACGAAUGGAACAAAAUUAUUAUCCCACUUCUCAAAAGAUUUUUUUAAUGACAUUUUCUCUGACAUCGGCUGAAUCUACUAUCAAAAUCUUAAGUUCAAGGGAGGUUAGUGCUAUUUUUAAAACCUUAGGGAAGGUGAGUGCAACUACUAGAAGCCUCAAGGGAGGUUUCUGCAAUUAUCCCAUAUUCCUUAUUCAACGUCCUUGACAUGCAAUGAUCAGACGUGACUAAUUUUGUUAAAGAAAUGCAAAUUGAUUGUAGUAAUAUUAUUUCUACUUGUUCACACUUCAGAAAUUUUACUUUCGAGUGCAAAUUAAAUAUGAAAAUGUUAGUUAAGUGGAAAAGUGACGAGAAAAGACACUAGAUGCAUGCACUAAUAUUUAAGCUGUUAAAAUUGAAAUUUAGGUGCAAAGGAGAAAAAGAAAUCCUCUUAAAAGUAGUCUGUCUCGUGGAAAAUCUGAAUAUAUAAACGACAACAUAAAUCAAGACAUCUUGAUUUUGAUAUAUGAAGCAAGAACUGCAGACGAAAAAGGGGAAAAAAAAAGAGAGGAAGAAAUAAAGAAGAAAUUGUAGUUAAGCCCUGAAGACGGACACAAAAGCUCUUGAUAUUAGUUCACAUUAAGACCAUUACAGAAACUAGUUGUCACUGUCCAGUGUUAAACAUUGAUCUUGCAUAAGCAAGACAAUGCAAAAACAUUUUUUGAAAGAAAAAAAAAAGGCGAGAAACUUUUGCUUAUUAGAUAUUCUGAUCUAAUUAUAAUAGCAGGAAAUGUCGUCGAAUUUUUGGGGAUCCUUUUAAACACAAGCCGUCGGCGGUAUUCUUGAUAUUCCUUGGCGAUGCAGCUCCACCAGCACACUGUCAACAGACGGUGGUUUCAGCCCAAGUGGAAGCGGCUGCCACGGCUUCGAUAAAACGUCUCCUAUAGCUGCAUCUAUGCUCUCCUUGGACUUCAUUUUUCACAUAAAACCAAGGAUCGAAAAUGUCAAAGAUAAUCCAAGGUUAGUUGCUGCAAGCAAUAGCCAGAUGAAAUGCUGUAUUUUAGUACGAAAUUUCUCAUCCAUGGAUUUUCUUUACAUCAUCACAAUUAUGCGUGUUGGUCAAACAAAAUACACGGACAACCGUACGAAAUAAAACCAGCUGUCCUUGAAAAAUCUGAGCUUUAUGCCGAUUAAUUGACUGGGGUUCCGGUCCAGAUUGGAUAGUGAAUUUGGAAUUUGAUUGGUCAAACUGUUUUGUACACAUUCUUGAAUGCAUUGUACAGAUUAAGAGUUGAUUAUUGAUCACAACUCAUAGUCUUAAUUGUACAAAUGACCCUUGAAAUCACAAAUCUUAGUGCUCAUUUGAAUUGAAGCUUUUGGGAGUUUAUGUAUAAUAAAAAAAAAUACAUCGUAGCAAUGUGAUAUAUACAAAAUAAAAAAAAUAAAAAAUACAUAAAAAAUGAUGAUAUUUCAACAAUUUCUCCGUGAAAACUAGGGUUCUUAGUAAUUCUAAUUUAUAAUUUUUUUUUCUAGAAAAUCAACCAUGGUUUCCCACCGACUCACGAUGAUUUCAACCUAUAGCCUAUCGGCAACGGGUGAAAUAUCUUAUCAAUUAGGCCAUCGUACGUUGUCUUCUAAUUUAUUAUGACGUAAAACAACAAAUUGUUCCUUGUCUGCCUUUCAUCUGAUCCUCGUGAGAGUUUCAGUAAGCUUAGACAAGAUAUGGUACAACCAGUAGACACGGGUAACUAUUACCACAGAUGAGUGCGAAAAGAAGAGAAUUCUUACCGGGUGAAAAUCAAUGGGAGGUUGAGGUACGGGUUGUCCAGCAGGGGCUGUUGGGACAGCAAUGCCGGGGUCUACUUUGUACAGCGCUGGUGGUGGGAUGCCAGGUACAGGUGGAGUCGGAAAUCUCUGCAUGAAAACGUGAAUACGUAAGUACUAUAAAGUUCUUUAGGACUGAAAAGUAUUUGUCACCACAGUUGGAAAUGAUUGGGAUUUUUCUUUUUUCAGAUGGGAUAUUCUUCAGAAAUCAGAAUUCUGCCUAAAAGACACAACUGUGGCCUAUUACUAGUUCAAUCAAGGCUCGUGCACUGGGGUAGUCCAACUUAUGUUGCAUGCGCCUUUAAAUUUAAAAUUCAAUCAAUAAAUUUACCCAACUAAUUAAUUUGGUGUAUUUACAGCUACAAAAAGAGCGAAAAUUCCCCGCUUACUGUUGGUGCAAGAUGUGGUGGAAAGCAAGGUGUGCCUGGAGUUAGAGAGUUUGGAACCUGCAUAUCAAAGAAAAGUCACAUAUUUAAUAAUUGAGAAAAUUACCUUUUACCCUCCUGAUUUGGUGCUUCAUUAUUACAUAACUCUCUAUGGUUUAAAAAUUUAUACAUAGUCCCCUCAGAAUUUGGGUUAAAAUAUCACCAUUAGUUUUUUUUUCCAUUAAAAUUAACGAUCAAUAUUAAAAAGUCAAAGUUAAAUUAAUAAAUUGAUAAAUUUACCCUUUGACUGCUUCCUUUUUUUUUCAAAUACCAAAAAGAAGAAAGGAAAAUAAAAAAAGAUAAUAAGAAAUGGAAAAUACCAAAGUCUUUAUGAUUGCAAAUGUCAUUAUAGGUUUUUAAACUAAAUCUUUAAUGGUAUUUCCAUUUCUUAUUUAUCUAUUUUUUUUAUUUCCCUCUCUUCUUUUUUAAUGUAAGGAAAAAGAAAUUUAAUUAAGAUCUAUUAGGUCAAAUUUUAGUUGUUUUUAAAUCACCUCUUCUCUUCCCAAAGGAAAAAGGAAAAGAGAAAAACAAAUAUUGACAGUUAAUGUUAAUGAAAAACUAAUAGUGACACUUUAAUUCAAAACAUGAGGGUGUUGUGUAUAGAUUUUUAAAUCCCGAGGGGGGAUUAUGUUUAUAUUUUUAAAUCAUAAGGGGAUUUUAUGAUAAAGCACCAAACUACACGAGUAUAAAAGGUAAUUUAUCCUUAAUAGUUCACAAUUUCAAUAGAAUUAUUUUUUUCUGAGGAAAAUAAAACAUCAAAAUGAGAAGGGAUUUUCUUACACGAGCAUGGUGUGAAUGCCAAAAGGAAGGGUCUGGCGGUGGUGUUGGAGGGUGGGCCGGUGCGGCAGGUGCCCAAGUAACUGGUGGAGGUGGAGGUGAUGGUCCUAAAUGUUUAGGCCAAACGGGCAUUAGAGAUUGGUCGACGGAUGGAUGACCCCAGACAUGCAAGGGUCUAAAAUGAGGCAUAGGUGCCAUGGGAGGAAAUCCCAUAGUAGGGGCAAUCCAAUGGUUCAUUUCUCUCUUUCCUCCUGCAGCAGCGGGCGCGGCGGCGGCGCCAUACAUUUGCCGUCUUUGGCUCCAGUUUGCUGCCUCAGCUUCUCGAGCUAGCAGAUGCUUCCUGUGGGAUCUGUACUUCUGCACAUAUAUCAAACUUUGGUAUCAAACGUUUGCACUUGUAUCAAACUUGAGUAUCAAGUUCAAGCCAUAAAAAAUGAUUCUUUUUGGUCCAAAUGUUCAGUUAAUUAUAUAUGUACAAACAUGAGGAAGAAAGAUAAGGUUUAGUGCUUGAAUUAUUCUUGACAGAAUCACUAAGAAUAAAUGUCAGGGAAAAGUCUCCAAAAUGAGCGCAACAAAAAUUGUACCAACUUCAUGGCGGAAUUUUCUUUUCUAAGUUAAGAAUUUACCGACUUGGUGAUUGUAACGGAGAAAGAAAAUGCCGGGCCUUGAAGGAAGAGGAAAAAUAACUUUCUUUUAAAGUGCUAUUGGCUUGGUUCGAAACUCAGUAUGCUCCGUAGAGUAAGAGACAAAAGGCUAAGGAAAAGAAACAAAAGUUGAAAUGUCAAGCUUUCGAUCUGUCUUCUGUCUCAGACUGAAGACCCUGAAUGCAUGUAAUGUGCAUACAUUAAAGUGAAUGACAAAAACCAUAUAUAUGGACUAGUACUACUGCAAUUUUUCUACCAUCCUACUGCAAUUUUAUGCAACUUAAGAAAAGUUUGAACUGUUUUUAGAUUGUUCUUCCACUCUUUUUCUUGCACAUAAGGAGGAAUAGAAAGGAAAAGAAAAAUACUCAUACUGCAUGGUGACCUUGAUUUAAACAAGGGUUUGGAAAAUAGGAGGACAUAUGAGAGAAAACAACAGCCUUGCACCUGUAUGUAUCUAGUUGAGAGGAUGAAGUUUAUUAUUGUUUUAGGGACAAGAAAAGAAGUGAAAAAGAACAAGAUAAGCUGAACCUAAGGACAAGAAAUAAUUUUACUUCAGGCUAAAAAAAAGAAAACAAAGGCAGAUUCCAAACAAAUCUGUGGAACUUAGGAGAACUAGAUAGAAGAAAAGGAAAGAAAAAGAGAGGAAAAUGAAGAAAAAAAUUGCAUACUUGAAGAUGGCUGGCUAUAUUGUGCCGAGUGAGACAAUCAAUUCCCAUAAUCUCAAGAAUUCUUGAAGGGACUGCCUUGUCCACACCCAGCUGCUCCACUGCUUGUACAAACCGCCUGUGCAGCUCUGGCGUCCAGUCCACCUUCACACAACUCAAGAAAUUAUUUCCCAUCUUUAAAUACAUAUUACAACUAAGUACUAACUAAAAAUAAAUAUUCAAAAAAUGAUCUCUUUCUCUCACACACAAGCGCGCAAGAAAACAUGUUCAGACAAUCGCUUUCAUAUGAAGCUUUAAAACCCUAUCAAUAUUCUCGUGAAGUUUGCUUCUCAGUAAGUUUGUGAACAACAAACUGAGUAGCCAUUAGCCUAUUAUAUAAAUAUGUUAAAAAAAUUUAGUAUAUAAGUUUUAGUUAUAAUAGUAGUGCAUAUAAAACAAGCUUGCAGACUAAACCCUAGAAACUAAGAUUAGCUUAAAACCUAAUUAUCUUAAUUACCUUAACUUUCCUCUUCCCUUGGGGAUUAGCUUUUGACUGUGUAGAUGAUUUUCUUGCUUUAUCAGCUUCUUUAGCAGAAGGGUUCGCGGCUACAGAUUCAUCUCUUUUACUCAUGACCAUAUCGUCAGUCUGAGUCAAGGUAGACCCCGAGCUAGCAUCCGGGCCUGAAUAAUUAGCCUUAUCCACCUCUUCUUUUGCUGAAUUUUCCUCCAUUUUCUCAUUGGAUGUUGAUGUGGUUGUAAUCUCUGAUUCCUCACCUCCACUGAGUGAAAAUUCAGCAAGCAUCUCAGGGUCCAUCUCCAAAUCUGGUAAUACAUCUUCAUCAUUGAUACCAACAAAUAGGUCAUCGAAAUCAAUACUAUCAAGCAAAUUCCCGCAUGAAAAGUCCGGAAAGUCGUCUCCUCCAUUCUCAAAACUCUCCAUUUCGUCCUGUCUUUCAUCUUUGGUAGUCCUCAAAGGAGACACAGCAAGCAUUCCAAACACUAUAAUCAAGCUCUUUGCUAAAAAAAAAAAAAAAAAAAGGCUCCCUCUUAUGUAGGUUAAUCUCUAAGUAUAUGCACUAGGUGGUGCAAUUCUAAAGUUUUUCGAUAUUUCAUGCAACCACCACCGCUGAAGGGGUGAAUACUAGUAUAAGGUGAGUUCUUGAUUUUCCGGUAAGUCUUUUCCCGGCGGAGGAAGGAGGGACAACCAGUGCAAAUGGGGUGGUCUAAUUUUUGUUGUAUUUGGCAGUGUAAGUGGGAGUGUGUAAAGCUCAGAUCUCCACCACAACUUGUAUGGAGGGUUCUCAGAUUUGUAUUUAUGCGUUUGUUUUGGAUUGUUUUAUAUUUGGUUUUUUUUUUUUUGGUAAUAAAAGGGACGUUUUAUAUUUGGUAACAUAUAUGUAUAUGUAUAUAAUAUAUAUUGUGCAAAGUUUAUGUGUUUUGUGGAUGUCCUUUUUUUGAAGUUUCAAACAAUCUAUUGAAGUGCCCCGUGAGCUGUUUUAAAUUAAUUUGUCUACAGACUUUAGGGGUGAGAGAAAGGUCCAAGUUGAUAUCAUAGGCUUCAAGGAAUUUAAUAAUGACGUAUUUAAUCAUUUUGUUGGAUUGAAAAAGAUUACACCAUUAUUUUUGUUUCCUUUUCAUGAGUUAAGAUAACAUAUAGAUACAUUUCCAGUUUCAUAUAUCUACUUACAUACAUAUCCAUAUGAAGUAUAUUUAAUGACAACAACCUAAGGAAAGCGCCAAGACCCAUUAAAUGUUUACCACUUUUUGGCUAGUUUUUCGAGCAAGUGGUUGAUUAAUGUACAAAGAGGUGCACAGAUUUCCUUUUUUUUUUUUUUAUUCUACUUUUUUAAAAUUAAAAAUGAGUAUUUAAUUGCUCAUAGAGAGCUUAAUCACCAUCACCCGGAUGUAACUUUUACCAUCCAGCACCCAAAGAACAAGAUACAAACAUAAUUUCUAACACAUUUUUUUUAAUUUUCCAAUCAUUUUUUAUAAUUCAUAUGCAUCACAUCGCAAAAAUUAUCAUAGUAAUUAUUUCAAAUAAUCUCCAAUCCAAACACAUUUUGCGCAAGAAACUGAGUCCUGACAAUUUUUUGAUCUUUAUAGCCCCGAUAAUCUUUGCAUGCUUUCGACUGCCAUGUCUAAUAUAAAUCUCUGGACCCAAAAAAAGAAGAGUUUAAAUUUGACAUAUGCAAAUAAUAUAAGAUAUUGCUAAGCGAGAUUGGGUUAGUUCAAGCAAAAGAGAUUCGACAAGUUAUAAAAGAAUGGAGAAGAAAGAACAAAAUUUGCUAAGAGGGACAUGUUAUAACUUGCACGAGAAAAUGCUAAGAGAGAACACUAGAAAAUCUUGAAACUCUAGAAGAGGAAAAACUCUCGUUAAAAAAAGAAAAGAAGUCUAAUUAAGAACGAGAAGAGAGAAAAAUUGUAUUAGGAGGAAAUAACAUCCAUUAGAAGAGAGACUUAAAGGCUUCUUAAUUAUCCAUAGUAGAGAAGAACUUUGUGUUAGAACAACAAUAAAGAAAAUACUUUAAAAUGGUUGCAAAACUAACAAGAAAAAGGUUUCAAAUCGUAAUUAAAACUAUGCAUUUGGAAAAUGUUUUGUAUUACAUUGACAGGCUAUUAUAUUCCUCUGCUCAUAUUAUGCAAUCAUUGUUGGAAAGUAAGAAAGUUUUCUUCAAAAAAAUUUAAGCAACAACUAAAAUUUACAAAUUCAACAUAUUAAUUAAAAGACUUUUUCCAUCUUGCAUUAUCACUUUUCAAGUUGGAGGCGUCUAUGCAAGUAGAAGUUUGUACAUGACAUGACAACGUACAAGUAGACGUGUAGCGUGAUGAUCUUGACCAUUAGACAGGUCAUUUUAUCGACCCAAAACUUGUACAGGCUUGAGUCAUGGUCAACUAGUCAAGCCGUUGUUUAGCCAUUCGAUAUGAUUUAGUUCAAUUUUCUGUAAUAUUUGGACUGUAUCUCUAGUGUUACAAAAAUGCUUUUAUGAACUUGACUUAGUUUGUCAGAUCAACUGAACAUGUAAGCUGCGGUACAUGUACCUGUGGCGAUGCAGUCCUUUCCUUCACCUAUAAUUGCACUACUUCCAUUAAUUCUCUGUUUCCUGCCUCCUUCUUCCCAGUUGCAUCUUGAACGUGAGGCUUAUUCAAUUUUAUUUACCAAAUAUCCAGAAUUUGGUUGACUCUUAUUAGGCUAUAUAAAACAUUGCAGUCUAGCUCCAGACGGGUCAAGGGUUUAAAUCCUUGCAGUUACCUUUAAAUUCAAAGGAUGCGCAAUGAUAUACCCCUUUGAUUUAAUAGUGGUGAGUUUAAUUAUCUCCCUCUAACUUUCGCGGUUUAGUCGGAUGCUCCUCUAGAAUAAAUUAGAGUAGGAGUACUGGUAUAUAAAUGUUACCGAUUAAUAUAAAAAAAAGUGAAAUUUAUUCAAUUUAAUUUACCAAAUGUACCAAUAUUUGAUUGAUUCUUACUCGGCUCUAUAAAUAAUGGCAGCCUAGCUCCAGAUUCUGUGCCCGAGAAAAAGGGGGGGGGGGGUGUGGGGGAAGAAAGAGCUGUGUUUUAGCGAAAGAAUGAAAAGUCAAGUGGCGUAUCAAAGUAGAAAAUUGGAAUGGGAUUUAAGUAUGCAUUAAUUAGCUCAAUGCUUUGAAAUGCGAAACUCAACUGUAUUAACUGAGAAAAAAAUCUAGACAUAAUAUAAAACCACAGAUCUAUAGAUUAAUGAAUUUCCUUGAAAUUUGGAAUGUGUAGCUAAAAUAAAAAAGGAAUGUGUAAGUUCAAUGAUGAAACAUUCAAUAUUACUUUAAAAAAAAACACGAAAAGUAAACGAAUAUUAACCAUUGACAAGACUACUUAGUUUAUGCUUUACUGAUCAUUAAAAAGUAAACCUGAAUAAAAGAUUAUGCACAUUAGCAAUCUUUAAUGGUCAUGAUUCAUUAGCUUGUGCCAUAUACUUUACAGUGUUUGGGUAAAUGAAGAUCAUUAACGGCUAUAAAUUGUAAUUUUUGCUGGCAAAGUAUUUAUGGGUUUUACUUGAAAAGUGGUCCUUUUAGACCAUAGUUCCAUUACCAGAACAUAAUCGCACUAAAUCAUUUCCUGUCCUAAUUCUAAGUCAGCUUCUUCCGCAGCUUGUUUUGAAAAAAAAGGCUUGACUUCAAUCUUAUCUGUUUGCAUCUCAUAACGUUGAAAAUUGACUAUCCUGGUUUACAAACAGACUAGUAUCGAUUAAAUAGAUUAGGAAAAUUCAUCUUCUAUGUGCAAAAGAAUGGUCUACAGCCUCUAAACCUUUUGUUUCUUUGUAUUAAUAGUAGUCUUCCGCUCACUCUGUUGAUGACUCAAAUCCGUAAUCUCUCAAUUACAGGUGAAACAUUUCAAUGCUUCGUCAAAUUUAUGGCUCAAACCAUGCUAUCUGUAUAUGCUUGCUUCUUUCUGCAUUGCAUGAUCUUACACAGUGGAAUAUGUUACUGAAGCUCGAACAAAUGUGCUCUUCACCACCCGAGAUAAGAUAAGCUUAUAGAAAAAGGUAAAAGGUCUUGUGUACUAAUUCCUUGGCAUUUUCCUAUGGACUCAAGUCAACCGUUCUUGUCUCCUAUGGUUAUAUUCCAUGGCUUACUAUUGCAAGAACACGGGCAUGAUCUUUUUCUUUUUUCUUUUUCAAUAAAUACAUCAGAUUGUGGCUGGGCAAAUCCAAGCCUCAGCAAUUGCCAUUCUAAUAUUUCAAGAUUGAACAUAAUUAAAAUAAUACAUGCAGACACUGACGUACGUUUUUACUGUUUAUCAAAACGUCUUGUUAUAUGUUCAAAAUUUUCUCAACUUUUAACCAUGCAUCAUCUAGUUUAAUUGAACCUUGGUGUGAUUAAACUAGCCUUGUCUUAGUUUAGUGUGAUUUGUGAUUGCUCUAGGCAAUUUGCAUUGAAUUUGACUUAUGUUUGAUGUGAAUUGGUUUUUGACAAUAGACUCAAAGUACUGAAUUCAAAUUAUCUCUCAAGCUAAGAUUAUCUCAUGCAGUUGCAGGAAAGAUUGCUUCUGCAACCACCAAGAAACUCAACCCAUUUGCAUCACAUAACCCUUAAACAUGCAUCAAACCAUUUUGAUGUUCUUACCCUCCAUACAAGCAAACAACAUAUGUUGGGCUCUAAAAUCAUUGUUUUCUUUUUUAAGAGAAACAUUUCCCAUCUAGUAAAACCGACCCUUUGCUCAACCCUCUAUCUCCUUUGGCAAGCUUCACUUUGAAUUUUUGGAGAUUUAUUGUGAUUUUGAAUUUCAAUUUUACUAUGUUGCUCUUUAUAAGUAUUGCACGUAAUCUCUGUUUAGGGCCACAAAAAAAAAUUACUUAGCUAUAGAUUAUACCUUUCUAUGGUUACCAAACGGUUCAACUUGAACGAAAGGUCAAAUAUCAGAAGAAGAUAAGUGAAAUUUUUGAGAAAUGCACAAGAACAAGAAGACCUUAAGCUAGCUUUCCUUGUUGAGCAAAAACCUAAGACGGCUUUUCGUUGUCAAACAAAAAAGAAAAAACACUAAUGCUAGUCUCUUCCACUCUUCCUACUCAAUUGUGAUUGUUACUAAGAGAACAUACAAAUUGAGUAUUUUAGCAUUUUUUCUGUUGCUUAAUUAUGCUUCUUUUUUUUUAAAAAAAAAAAAAACUCUUUUACACUUGACUAAUCAAUUAAUGGACUUGUUUCGGGAACUUCAGUUUCCACCCUAAAAAGUCUGAUCUGCUCCUUUUCCUAUUCAAAAACCAAUCCCUAAUCUCUAUGUUUUCAGAUGGAGAAUUAUUUGCCAAUGAAGAGAUGUCAAAGGGCUUCUUACUUCCCAAAUAAUCAGAAGAUCUUGGCUCCUGAAUAUUUAGACAACAGAGAGGAAAAAAUGAAAAAAAAUUAAACUAAAAAUUGAAUGGAGAGAUCUUGGCGGAAUUGCCAAGUUUGAAAUUUAGCACAAAUCUGCAAGGAAAUAGCCCACAAGUGACUUAUUUAUCUCAUGCUCAUUCUCUAUUUUCACAUUUUCACCUUAAUUAUUGAUAGCAAGCACAAUUAAGACGCAUUGGAUAAAAGUACAGGUUAACUAUUCAACUAUGAAAAAUAGGGACAAGGGGCCGAACAGUUAUCUAGCAAACUGAUUGGAGCGGUUUUGUACAAAAUUCACGUUGCGUAAGUUUAUCUGCACACGAUAUAACUCACUUUCAACAACGUAUAAUUAUUGUUGGAUUUGGAUUUUAUUCCAUCAAUCUAAACCCAACAAAAUAAACAGUUGCUGAGACAAAACCCAAACUCAAUAAAAUAAACGAUUAGUAGGAUAAAAUCCAAACCCAACAACUAUAGAACAAAAUUUUAUGAAUCCCACACAUAAUGUAAAAAACAAGUACAAGAUAAAAUUUGGAUUUUACUUUUUUGUUUGUCAAAUCUUAUCUAUGAACUUUGAGGAACGGUUGCUUACUGUAACCGUUCUUGUCCCUCUUCCGAGAAAUAGAUAUCCAAAUAGACCAACGUAAAAUUGUAGCUGUCGGCCUCUAUACAGAACCGGAUAUUGAGACCAACGGAAAAUUCUGCUCAACAGUAUACUUUCAAGGAUAAACAUGUUGUUGUCAAGGCAAACCAAAUGAGGAAAAAAAAGGGGGUUUAAGAUCAGUCUUUCCAUGUUCUCUCAUAAGACGAAACAAACAAGGCAACAGAAAUAAAUAGCUCUUAAUUUGUCAAAUGUCUGAAACCACGUUAUUUAAAGAGAAAAAGGGAAAAAAAAAGAGAAGAAGAAGAAAAUAUACCCAGUGUUGCAUAGGGUAGGUACUAUAUCCAGUUUAUUGUGAUUGGAUUCGAAGUGAAAUUCUUUUUGUUAAGAUGUGUUUUUUGAAAACAUGUUUUAUAAAAAAUUUCAAAAACGGAUGCAUACAGAGAAGUAUCUCCUAGUUCCCACCUACGCCAAGCAAUUUUAAGUAAAUAAAAAGGAAAAAGGGUUGUAUUUCCAAAAAAAAAAAAAAAAGAAGUGCAAAAAGGCAACCAAAAUUCUUCUCGAGGAAUUGACAAACCAGAUUGAAUGAAUGAAAACGUUUUCACCUUUUUCCAUCUUCAACUGUUAAACGGUCUGUCCUCUAUGGCAUCUAACUCUAAAUUUAGACGGUGCAUUCAGUCCAAAAUGAAGAAUAGAAAAUACUGUGGAGAGUGGAAACCACGGAAUUGAAAUAAUUUCUCACCCACACAUAUAUUAGAUUUUAUUCAAUAAUUUGUCUGACACUUUAACAGACAUAUAUAUAUCAAUGCACAGGAACAUUUUGGCUUUUGUAUUUUCAUUUUUGCAAUUAUCUAGUCAGAUGCUGCAGGGAUUAGCCUAUGAAUUGAGAUAUUCCUCGAGAUUGUCUACAUCAUAUGCUGAAUAUCGUUUUCUAAGCUUUUUUCUUAAUUAAAUACAUGUUCAUUCACCUUCAACCUUCAGCUUAGGUUAAUUGCCAAACUGUAAGAAGCUAAGCAAUAAUGAUCAAGACCCAGAAAUUCUAUUAAUUAGUCCCUGUUCAGAAUGUACCUACCAAGUCAAUAAUUAGUCACACCCCCGGAUAAACAAUUUAUGAAGAUAUCAUUUUUAAUUUUAAAGGCAAAUUAUUAAUUUUUUUUUAUUAUUCCAUGCCUGUACUUGAGUACUCAGACUACAAAUCCAUCUAUAUAUAUAUAUAUAUAAUACAGCUGAGUAUUACAACUAUACAUCAGAAAAACAAAGUCAAACUGACAAAUUAGCAGGUAGGUAAAAUUUCAGCAAAAGAUUAAUGAGAUUUAUGUCUUUAAUGUAAAAGAAACCGUUGUAAUUACGGUCGAACCACAAUCAAUUCAAACAAUUGAAAUAUUUAAUCUAAACGUGCUUUUUUUUUUUUUAGUUUUCCCCCUUGUAUUUAUAUUUGCAGGGGAGGAAUUCAAAAGGAAGAAGCUAGGAUGGAACGGGAUGGAUAAACGUCAACCUCUAUUUUAGAACCUGUAAUCGUGGAGAUCAACUACUUUCAUAACUUAACAUUGGUACAGUUUGAGUUUAGUCCUUCUUAAUAUUCCAGUUAUGCAAAGCUCAUUUGACGUCAAGUCACCAUUUUACAUGGAAGAAAUUUGACGGGGCAAAAAAUUUAUCCAAGAAAAUGGUGGGUCUUUUAUGUCAUAUGGAUCUUGGGACCAUAGAGGAAACAAUUUGCAAACAGGAGCUGCGUUUAGGUGACUCAUUUGUUAGUACUUCUAAAAAAAGACAUGGAUGUCUUUAUUGUUGGUGACGAUGGACAAUGAAAUGCGUGCUACAGAAUGGGGGCCUCAAACUAGCAAUAAUUGUUGGUGAGGCUGAUUGUAUGUUGUUUCGUAUAGGAUUCUAAAUUUCCCUUUCAUUUGAUUAUUCUGUCUAGAAGGUCCCCUCUUCUACCCACCAAAAUCCAAAAAUGCUAGUUUUGACCCCACUUACCAGCUCAAUAAUUCAUACCCCAUUGGCAAGAUCUCAAGUUCAAUUUUUCCAAUACAAACUGUAAACCGAAAUUCAAUUUGUGUGGUCAAGAUCCUUUGCUAGCUUAUUCUUGUUUGUAUCAAGCACGAGUACUUAUCAGUUUUUGUAUUUAAAAGUGUUUUGCAAUAUCUAUUCGCUACAUUCAUGUAUCGACUGCCGGUAGAGAUACAAGCUGCAGAAUAGACUCAGAACUCGACUCUUCUAUCUAGAAUGGAGUUGGCUAGGUAUGGUCUAGAUACCUCCUACGAGUUCUGCUAUGUGCUCUUUUUUAACUUUUACUUUUCCUUAUCAGGCCAGGCACUCGUGUUGGAAGCAGUGUUAUUAGACUCAGACCAGAUCGGCCAAUUUGACCGGUCCGAUCAUGAAUGACUUUUUUUUUAAGCUGGUUUGUAGUAUAAAAUCGUUUUGGUCAAAAAUCAAUUAAAAUCAUAAAGAACUAGCUAAACCAAUGACCAGAUUCGACUAAUUGACUUGGUUCUCAAAUUUUUUUUUUUCUUUAUUUCCCCAAACAUAAUUUGAUUUACAUUUAUUAUUAGGAAUAAGAAAACGUCACCCAUUUAGUGUAAAUAUCAAAAUCACUCGCUUUCCUAAAUGAUCUCUAAAUCAAGAUGUUUUCAUUCCUAUAAUCUCAUUAAUUUAGCAUCACCAAUUUCAACUUGCAUUAAUUUGUUUUAAUUUAGUUUUUCAAGUAAUUUUGGAGAAUGGACAUAUUUUAUCCAUGAAUUUACAUUCUUACAUAUAAUUAGUAGGUGUACAUUUGAUUGCAAAUCUAAUAUUUUUGGAACAUUUUUCAUGAUUGACCAAAUAUAACUACGAACUUAAUUUCAAUAUUUUUGAAACUUAUAAAAAUAUAAAAUAAUUAUAACAUCAUGCUGACGUCAGCGGAUUUUUGAGAACGGUCCUACCGAUCUAACCAAUUGACUCCUGAUCCAAUAAUUUAACCGAGUCGCUAUCCGGUCCGAAUUUAACACAUUGGUUGGAAGCACAGGAGAAUCAAUUUGUGAGAGACCGCAAUAUUGAGGCUAGUCCAAGUUAUCCAUUAGAGCAUAUAUUACCGCUUAAUUGCAUCUCAUUAAUCUUCUUGACCUUGUAUAGACGGAGGUAUAAAUGUUAAAUUCAUACCCUUGAUCUUAAAUUCACUUGAAUUCUAACGAUACAAGUUAUAAAUGCAUCAAAAGUGUUACUAAUACACCUAAAUUACACUUAAUUUACCACAUGAAUGCAGACACUCAUAUUUAAUGUACCUCCCAUAUUUAGACACUUUCUAAGAUUAGUUUCACUUUUAUCAAAUUGGUGUCUUCAAAAUUGUCCGAGGGCCUAGGUUUUUCCUUUUUUCUCUUUCUAGUGACAAGGAAGCUUUACUAAGUGUCUUUAAGUUUUCAGCAAAAUGUUAAGACAUAUCCAUCAAGUUACCCAGAUAUGACCUUAUAUAGGGACAAAAGUGAUUCAUAUGCGAAAAUUGUGUGCCACUCUCUAAUUUUACCUAUGCAUUAUGUGUAAUAGUAGUAUUACAAUUUUUCUUACCAAACCCUCUGAUCAGUGACAUGUGAUGCAGAUGAAAGCAAGUUACUGUUUCAGUUGAUGGGAAAUUCUUCAAGGACUAAGGCACAUGGGAGAUUCCAGAGGAUAUCAAAUCCAAUUAACUAGGAGGACAACUAAUGAUUUCCGUGCACGAGGGUUGAGGAUUUAACGUAUGAGGUGGUCUCCCUUCGUGGCAGUUAACUACGUACUGCGAAGGGCUUCUCUUCCGGUGCAGACUGUGCAGUACAACAUGAAAUGAUGUACAUGAAAAGUGGAAGACAUGCGGCAUAGAAAGGUUCGAAGGACCAUUAAUUAUAUGUUCCAUGCCUUCCAAUUUCCACUUCUAGCCCCAUAUCUUAUAGUUACUUGUCAUUUCAACCCCCAACCAAUAUUCUUAACUGGAAAAAAAUUAUGAUCUAUUCGUUUCAAUUUCAUUUAGUGGCAUAUUCUAAAAGGAAAAAGUGCAACUGAGGUGAUCCAAACAAUCAAGGAAGUUCUAGUUUUCUCCCCCUAGCUUAAGGGUCCUUUUCAGAUUGAUCCCUAAUAUUUUCGCAGCGAAUAUAUUCUAAGUCUCACAUUAGAAUUACUAUAAGUGCACAAUAUGAUCGAGAUUCCCUGAUAGCUGGUCCAUAGGUUCAAGAGAUUACUACUUCUAGUCCUUGUCCUUCUUUUGUAAUUUGGUCCCUAUUUUUUUCCUUUCUUGGGGAGAUUAAUGCUAAUUUUAACCAUUUUUGUUUCGAGGUAUGCUACAGAGCUAGGAAGAUGUGCUGUCUGCUGCUGGUCCAUGCAUUCAUAAUUCUAACUAUAACAGGUACACAAAAGAUACAAAAUUUUAAAGGUAUAUAAAGUAGGGUUACUUGAGUAACCUUCGUAGAUUGUACCAAGGAAAAAAAAAAUUAGCAAGUUGCUAUAAAUUUGUGAUAAUUACGUCUCAACGUACUUCAAUCUCAACAAUUAGCAAGUGUGUUUUUCCUUCUGAUUUGACGAUACUUUUGUUCUGAUUAGUGCUCAAACAGAGCCAAGCAAAGCAAAUAACGAAUGGGGUUUAAGCAUGAUACAUCUAACCAUGGAAAUGCAUAUGUAAUGCCAAAAAAAAUUCAGUGCAAUAUUUCAAGUCGUCCUUGAUCUAAACAAGGACCAGCGUAUUAUAUCCACACAAUAUUUUGCAAACUCUUUUGCCACCACUCUCUAGCCUAUACAUGGACCAAGAAUAAGGUCGAAUAAUUUGAAAUGUGCCCACAAAGACAGGAGCUAUGAGUAAUCCUUUUCAACAACAUUAUGAGGCAGUUAUUUUGUUUUCAUUAUAAAAGUUGAUGGGAUUUUUCCUUCUUCACAGACUUGGGCAAAGAAAGGGUCCUCGGAAAGAAAAGUUGCCCUAGCCACCUAGUAGCCAUGGCGGACAUGGUGAUUCGCCGCAUCACCCUCUUUUGUUUUAAUUUUAGGUAUCUAAAUGAAAAUGAAAAGAGGCACUUGCUAGUCUUUGAGAUUUUUUUUUUAUUUUUGAUAAAGAUCUCAAGUUUAUAAUUGGAUUUUGCAAUAUAAACUUCUCUAUAAAUUAGAUUUCUCUCGUUAUCAUAUGAAUUCAUACAUUAACAAUUAUUAUCCUAUCUUAUAUUUAUAUAUUUUCUCUAAUUAACAUUACUUAUUCGAAAUAUGAACUCCUGAAUCCCAUUUUAACAAAUGUCUAUUGGGUACUCGUUAGAUAGACCCAUUAACUAAUUUGAUGGUGAAAUUUCUUUUUCUUUUUUUUUUGAAAUUUCCUUUUUUCUUGUUAACUCAACUUUUUGCAAAUAAAAUUAUUUUUUUUCAUGAAACAUCUUCGUUUCAAUAAAUCUACACUAAUGGCAGAAACUACAUCAAUCACACAUAGAUGGAAAUAAAAUUCAAUACUAGAUACUUAGAUGUAAAGAACAGAUGCUUAGAUCAGAAAAUAAAAUUCUAAAUGCAUAGUAGGUAAAAGUUUUAGAGGUUACAUGCAUGGAACACUGUUGUGGAUGCGGUUCUAACACGGUUUGCUAAAAUUGAAGGUAACUUCAACUUGUACGUGGAGUAAUAUGUACGCUGGAAUUUUGAGCUUGGAAUCUAAUCCAAGGUUGUUUCAAAGGCUGAUUGAAGAUACAAAUGACUUUACACUUGGGAGUGAUUAAAGUUUAGUUUAGGCCAAUUAAAAAGAUACUUGAAUUCCUACAUGAGCAUGGGAUGAGAUCCAAGUAUGAGUUUAAGUGCCUCUAUCUUACCUUCCCUUUGAUUCGGGUUGAAAUAAGUCUAUAUUAAAGCUACCCUUUUUUUUUUGGUGUCCCUUUAUUAGUCAAGAAAAAACUCAUAAAAACGAGACAUUCAUUGAGGAGACUAAAGUCUAAAACUGUUUUCUUUCUUCAUUAACGGAUCACCAAUCACAGUAGAACAUGCAUCAAAAAGAUGAUAUUGUUGACUACAAAAUCUCAACUGUAUUAACAAAAAAUCAAAGACAAUUUGAACUAAUCAAAAACAAAAAAAUUUAGAAUUACUCUCAAUCGUUAAAAUAAGCAAUUGACUUAUUUAAUUAGUAACUAAAUUUAUCUUGGAACUAAAAUUCUAGAUGAAAGUUUUUAUUUUUUAUUCAUUCGACAUGCAUUCAGCUAUGGGCCUAGUACUUCAAUUACACAUGACUUUUGUACUAGUCCUCCAACCAUUGUUACAAGUACAGUUUUGGACCAUUGGUAUCUGACUUUCGCCUGUCAAGAUGAAUGAAAGUUCCCGCAGAUGGUCAAUAUUACUGCUGGCAACAAAUUAUAAGGCUUGCGUCGAAGCAAAUGCAGGGCCUGCAUUUCUUGACCCAAAUGUAAGCCCUUUCAGAAAAAGCUGUUGUGUUACACAGCUCUUGUAGUCUUGCUAGGUUUCUGUUGCCCAUCUACACUAGAGAUGGGGAUGGCAACGGGGCGGGGGACGGGGGAGCCUACAAAUUCCCCUGUUCCUGCCUCGCCCCCGCUUCUCCUGCGGGUGCCCUUACGGGACUAAUAAAAAUUUAUUAUAUAAUUUUAUUAUAGUUAAAUUUUAACAAAUAAUCAAGUACUAAAAUAUCAACACAUCACCAAAUUAUUAUUCAUUGUAAUUUCACAAUUGAAACUUAUAAAAGCAAUCAAACAAAAGUUAUUUGAAUACAAUCCAACAUGAUGAAAUAAAUACAAUUAAAGUAGUCAAGUUUUCACUUUUGACACAAAUACAAAUACUAAUUCAUUAUUAUACUUGUGCAUUUUUUUAAGGAAAAAAUGCUAUUGUAUUAAGUGUAAUUAGAGAUUUAAUAUAAAUGUAUUAGUAAAUUUAGUAUAACAAUUAAUAAUUUGUAUUAGUACACAUAUAUAAUUAUUAGUAUAAUUGAUAAUAUCAAUUAUAUUACAUAUACUAAUAUACGUUAUAUAAUACAUAUAACUAAUAAUAUCAUUAUCAUAAGUUUGUAACUAAUUAAAUUAUAUAUUAUAUAUAUAAUUAUAUACAUAUAUUUAUUAUAUAUUUAUUUUUUUAAAGCGGGUGGCGGGGCGGGGGUACACUCCCCCCCCCCUCGCCCCCUUUCUAAGCGGGGAGAAAAAAUUCCCCCCGCCCCUGCCCUAUUAGCCCCCGCGGGGGUGGGUCCAUUGCCAUCCUUAACUAGAAACCUGGAAACCAAUAUUGGAUGUUUUUUGAGUUAAAUUUUAAGAAUUUAAAGAAUAUUUCAUGUCUUUUAUAAACUUUGGUAAGGAGUGCAUAUAAAAGAAAGGAUUCCUCUAACCUGUAUUCAAUGAGUAUGGACUAAAAGCUACUUAAGGGUUUAGUUUUUGAAAUAAAAGAUAAUGAGGAAAGUUCUUAAAGAUUAAUUAGCACAAUAAAUAUGAGUGUGCAAGUUUAGAUAGCAAUUAAAAGAGAACAUUGGAUAAUAAUUAGGAAAAUCUUAGAGAUAAUGUUCAUACUCGAACAUUAAUCUCCUAGAUUUAGUCAUGCUAAGAUAUACAGUAUAGUGUACAAAGGGUUUAGUUUUUGAAAUAAAUGACAAUGAAUAAAGUUCUUUGGGAUUAAUUAGCACAAUAGAUAUGACUCUGUAAAUUUAGAUAGUAAUUAAAAGAGGACGUUGGAUAAUAAUUAGGAAAACCUUAGAGAUAAUAUUCAUACUCAAACAUUAAUCUCCUAGAUUUAGUCAUUCUAAGGUAUUCAAAACUUACCAAAACAUAAUACGACUACUAACAAAUAGAAAUAAAUAAAAGAAGAAUAGAACGAGGGUUUGUCUAUUGUUCUCAAUUAACAUCUCUUAAGAGAAGUCUGUAAUCUAGUACAAUAUCAUAUGGCUUUUUACAUAUCAUAAUUUUAAUUUAAAUCCAUCGUUGCACAGUAAAAUCAUAUUUGUUUUUUUAUCAUUAUAUUGUAAGAAUCUUAAUUUUUUUUAAAGUUUAAAUUAUUAUCCUAAUUGAGAUAUACAUAUUGAAAGAAUGAUACAGCUCUAAAGAUAUUUGUAAAAUUUUUCUAUCAUAUAAAAGGACUUCACUAUGUACACUUUUUAUAUAAUAAAUCAUGUGUGCCAACCUGAUACCACCAUUUUACAAAAGAAAUUCAUAAACUAACUUGUUAUUAAAUUUAGGAUUCGAAUCAUAAUAAUAUGCCUGAUAGUGGAGAGUAAAAAGGGCAUGGGAAAAGAUGAAAGAGUAAAACAAAAAAAAAUUGACUCAAGUAAUAAAUUCAAGGAAUACUUGUUGUUCGAUUUAGAAUUCGAAUCGUAAUUAUGUAUUUCACCGUUGAGAGUAAGAAGGAAGGAUGGAAGAGUUCAUAAAAUUUGAAUUUAACUAUUUAUAUAUCUCACAAGUUGCCUAAAGUAAAUUACAGCCUUCUUUUUUUUUUCUUUUUCUUUUUCUCCCUUGCAAAGAAUAUUUAUAACACAACCUUAAUUGGUUGCUCAAGCCGCACCCUAAUUAUUCUGGUCGGCGAACGAACAGAAAUUACCACUAUUUAACCCUGUGACGUAGGAGGCUGAAACCAAAGCUACAGCUUCUGGAACUUUCCACAGGGUUCUGGGCUUCCAGACGACUCUCCCCGCUUCGACGUUUCCCAAUUCCUUUUCUGCAUAUCCUGAGGAUUUUGUUUCCAAUUUAGAAUCCUCCAACCAACGAUUUCUACUUAAUAAACCAUCAUCACCAGCCCCAAAAGAACUCACUUUACCUACCACAUUCUUCUUUAUUAUCAUCAAGACAAGAAAAAGAUUUUUUUCAUUCGUUUUCUUACUGGGUUUCUUGCCGAAAGUUGUAUUGCUGGUUCUAGAAAACAAGCAAAAAUUGGUAAGGUGAAUAACAAGAGAAAGAGAGGGGAGGAGGGGAAGAUGGGGCUGGAUUACUACAAAAUAUUGGGAGUUGAUAAAAAAGCCACCGAUGAUGAUAUGAAGAAGGCUUAUCGAAAGCUUGCGAUGAAGUGGCAUCCGGAUAAAAAUCCCAAUAAUAAAAAGGAUGCUGAGGCCAAGUUCAAGCAGAUCUCUGAAGCUUAUGAUGUAUGUAUAUUUUUCUUUAUCCCGAUUAUCCUGCAUGUGUUUUUUUAUCUAUGAUGUCGUGGAUAGCAUUUUUUUUUUUUAAAGUUUGGGAGGCAUUUAAAUUUGCAAAAUUGAGAUGGGUUUUCGAAAUAAUUUUUUCUGGAAUUUAAUUAGAAAGCGUCUGGGUUUUUCUUUUUAUCUGUAAAGCUCCAAUCUUUAUAACAGGUGAAUGUUUAGUUUAGUAAGUUUUGAAUUUUUUUAGAGGAAUUUGAUCAUGAGAUUUUCUGGGUUUUUCUCCUUACGAGUAAAGAUUCGAUCUUUUUGUCUGAAGAUGAUUAUCUACUUUAAGAAGUUCGGAGUUUAUUAGCGGAAUUCAAUUGAAAAGAUUUUCAGAGGGUUUCUGCUUAUUUGUCUAGCUUAAUCUUCCUGUAUGUAGAUGAUGCUUAGUUUGAGAAGUUCUGACAUUUUUUUUGGGUCAAAAAGUUUGAAUCUUGUGUUUUUCCAUAUAUCUGUAAUGCUUUGCAUGUGAAUUAGUUACAUUCAACCAGCUCCAAAAGUUUAUAUUAAAGUUGAUCUUUUUGCUGUUUUUCUUUAUCUUUCAGGUUCUAAGUGAUCCUCAGAAAAGAGCAGUUUAUGAUCAGUAUGGUGAGGAGGGGUUAAAAGCUGGGGUGCCGCCGCCAGAUACUGCUGGUGGCCCUGGUGGCACUACUUUCUUCUCCACUGGUGGAGGGCCAACUUCAUUUAGGUUUAAUCCUAGGAGUCCAGAUGAUAUUUUUUCUGAGAUCUUUGGGUUUUCUGGCUUUGGAGGAAUGGGGGGUGGCAGUGGCAUGAGGGGUUCAAGGUUUGGUGGUAUGUUUGAUGAUAGCAUGUUUUCUUCAUUUGAAGGAGGCGGUAGUGGGCCUGGUGGAUCAAUGCAUCAACAAGCAAUUAGAAAAGCACCUGCAAUUGAGCAAAACUUGCCUUGUACACUAGAAGAGCUAUAUAAGGGGACUACCAAGAAAAUGAAGAUCUCCAGAGAAGUUCUUGAUACCAACAGUGGGUGAGUAUUGGACCUUAGUAUUUCGCUUAUGUGUGUUGACGAGAUGUGACAUAAUUCUUUUGUUUAUUCAUUCUGGUUGUGUUUGUUGACAAUCUUCACCUGUCAAAAUAUAACUUUUCUUCCCUUUCGUACUUGUGUGCAACUGUGAUAAGAUAUUAAAUUGAACCUAUCUAAGCGAGUAAUUUUGAACAACCAUUUCAUAGUUUCUGUCCUCGGUAAUUUAGUCAUUUGAGCAGUAGUAUUAGAACCAUUGGACCCAGAUCAUGUAUGAAAACUUGUACAUCGUCCUCUACCUUCCUCUUGUUUUCACUUGUGCUCAGUAGGAGACAGAGGAAUUGGGAUAUAAGGAUGAAGCAUUUUCUUCUCUUUUGGCAGUGUACAUAAAGUGUUAGGAAGUUGUACGACUUAAACUAUCAUCUACAUUGUACACAUGCGAAUUUAACAGUUAUUUGGUGUUAAAUAAGUACUCUGGUGAUUUUAUGUAUUGGCUGGUUUGUCAUUUUUCUGGUUGGUGAUUGAUUUAUCCAAUGGAAUGCGUUUAUGGUGGAGUUGUGAGAUUACAACUAUCAAAAUGCGGAAAAUGAUAUAAAGAUAUCCUGCAUGCAAAUUGACAUGUCUAAGUUUUCUUUCAUAUUUGGAAAGCAUUUUGUUUGCAGUUUUUAGAUGCAAUAGGAGACCGUGUAGCAGAUCACUGCUGUAUUCCCUUGUGAUUCACUUGCAGUAAUUGUAGCAUGAUAGUAGUUUGAGAAUAUAGUCAGCAGCUAAUUGCGAGCCUUCCAGCGGUUUGGAUGAGCUUUGUGAAAUUAGGGUUGUAAUGAAUGAGAGUCACUGUGUGUAAUGAACACGUAGAUCUCAAAGUAGUAAUCUGGGGGGGGGGGGAUUAUUAAUUAUUAGUAUAUUUCAAAUCACAAACCCCGCCAGUCAUUAAUAUUAAUGUCUACUAUUCCCUUGCAGUUGUUUUUCAAAGAUCUAAAGAAAUGGCACAUUUUACAAAAUUUACUUUCCGCAAAUGCUAUGAUCUGCUGAGUUUCUCUCUACUUUCUCUGAUUGAACUAGCAAUACAUUUGAAGCUUCUGGUGUGAAGUUUAAUGUGGCUACUAGUUGCCCUCCUACUAUGAAUCUUGUUUGACUUAUGCAUAGAAUAAGUGGGGUACAAGACCUCUCCUUGGUUUUGAGGAGUAAAUGUUUGACUUACGCCGGGACCUGAUUUUUUUUUCCAAUUUAAGCAAUUUCAUAAAAAGUCCUCUUUUUGGGAUUAACUAUUGGUCAUUUUUAUCCCUGUAAAAUAGGAAAGUAGGAAUCUUUUACUUAGGUCUAUUUGAUUGUUUGUGAUCUUUUCUGUCACUUUUGUUAUGAAUGUGAAACUCUUGUUAGAAGUUAUGAGAUGACUAUGCAAUUUGUGUUUGUUUUAGUUUUUGUAUGUUUUGAAGUUUUAUUGUUGUGGGAACGGGGUCCUAUAUCUCAGUAGGGACUUUCAGAGUUUAUAUUACUGUUUGCGAGUUAAAUGCAUGGAGUAGAAUAUGUAGUUGCAGAAAAGUGUCUUGCUCACUGAUGGGUUUUAGUAUUUCUACAUGCAUUGUUUCUGCAUUACAUUAAUAUUAUUAUUCAAAGUAAUCAAAAGCUUUUUGAAAAGACUUGUAAGCAUCCUGGGGUUUUGGGUUUAUAUCAAUCAUUUAUAUUAUGCUGAUUCAGUUUGCUUGCUUUGAUACAGCAAGAUAAUGCCUGUAGAAGAGAUUCUUACCAUUAACAUCAAACCUGGCUGGAAGAAAGGAACGAAAAUCACCUUCCCAGACAAAGGAAAUGAGCUGCCAGGUGUAGCACCUGCAGAUCUUGUGUUCAUCAUAGAUGAGAAACCUCACAGGGUGUUUACGCGUGAGGGGAAUGACUUGAUUGUUACCCAAAAGGUCUCUCUCACCGAAGCAUUGACAGGUUAUACAGCCCAUCUUACUACUCUGGAUGGUAGGAAUCUAACAAUUCCCGUCACCAGUGUGAUUCACCCAACUUAUGAAGAAGUAGUUCGAGGUGAAGGCAUGCCGCUUCCAAAAGAUCCAUCAAAGAAGGGAAACUUGAGAAUUAAGUUUGACAUCAAGUUCCCUGCUAGGCUGACUGCGAGUCAGAAGGCUGGUAUAAAGGAACUUUUGGGUUCUUGAGGUUGUAACCUGGGUUUUUUUGCUGUUGUUUGGAGUAGUACUUUGUGUAUAUUUUUCAGAGCCUUCACAUCUUUGGUGAAGAUCGGGGUAGCAAGAACAUUUAUUUUCAUUUAGUGCAUUUGUGUUCUCUAGGAGAAUAAUACUGCUCGGCACAAAGCUUUAAUUUAUACAUCUCUACUGGUUGUUUGAAAGUGUUACAGGUAAUAUAUGCAAAAGAUGAAAACACAAGGUUUUUGCAGCGUCUGAAGGGGCAGUUCAAGAUUUUGGUGCUUGCGAUUUACUUCUGUUUGCUUAUUGAAUAUUGCAAUGGGUAGAGUAUAAUCUUCUUGAAUAUGCUGUUCUGAAUGUGUACAGCUAUGGAAUAAAUAACACUGAACAAGGUGCAGGACUCAUUUUGCAUAAAAAAAAAAUACCAAUAUACUAGUAUUAGUAUUUGAGCAGCAUUGGCCGAACAAAUCUGUGUAAUCACCUUGAUCCCUGUCUUCUUGGGGCUUAAAACUUGCCCUUGGAUUAAACAGGCGGGCUACAAGCUAAGGGAUUCUUUGCAUGGACAAGGAACAAAGAAGAAAACGUGAGAGUAGGCACUUAAUAAUGACCGAGAUUCAUUGAUCGCCUCGCCGGCUUGGAAAUUGGAAUUAUUUAGCGUUCCUCAUAGCUUGUGCUUGUAGACGAAAGUCGUUCAGCUUUGCUAUUUGUUUUGGUUUUUCAUUUUUUGCCCUUUUCAGUUGACUCUCAUGUUAUCUAAAUUGCUAAACUAAGUUGAGGACCAACAUUUACUAUGGCCUGCCAAUCAGCAUCCCGUGUUGAAGGGUACUCUCACUGUCUUGCCUGCUUGAAAAGUUAUAUGGAGUUGCUACAAAGUAAAAAGGGUAUGCCAAUAAUGUCACCCUAUUGCAGUAUCUGUUGUUUUUUCUUUCUUUUUUAAAAGGUCUCCUGGUCUUGGCAAAAGAAUCUAUAUAACGUUUGGUCUUUGCUGGUUCUUUCACAAUGGAACUUCAACAUCGAUCCUUCAGCUUUUCCUAUGAAGAAGGCUGAUUAAUUACAAAAUCCAUGUAAGCAUUGACAAACAUUAGACAUCCACUUUAUUCCUUAUCAGUAGUUGCAGUGAAUUUACCGGAAUAUAUUUCAUAAAUUCUCAUAAGAUCCACAGAGCUCAAAGUGUAUAAAUUUCCUGGUAAAGCACUUGGAAGGACGUUGCUUAUCUCCUCAGUUCUUUCUUCCACAGCAGCAGCUUCUCUGAGCUUUCCUUCCUUCCACAGACUCCUGACAAGCAACUCCUUUGUGAUAGCAUCAGGAAUUAAGCUUGAGUUCAUCAUAUCCUCAAAUAUCCUCAUUGCGAGCGCAGCUCUUUCACAUUUGCAAUAUGCGCGAAUAAGAACUGUGUACAUAUGAGCAUCCGGCUCCAGACCACUUUGCCUCACCAUCCCAAAAAGUCUCUGAACUGUUUUAACAUCUCCAUGAAGUGCAAAAUGAUGCAUCAAUCCAGAAAAUGUCUGGAUUCCUGGAAAUAUCCCAACUAAAAUCAUCUCUUCAAGUAUGUCCAAGGCUUCAUUAUUCAUCUUACACUUGGUCAAGGUCCUUAACAUAGAUGUAUACAAAAUUAACAUGCUGCUCUUGGAUAUGGGACCACAAAUUGUUUUAACACCUUGAAGAAUCUUAAGAGCGGCAUCACCAUUUCCAGAAAUUCCAUAAAAAUUUAUAAUCAAUUUGACUGUGCCGAAUGACAACCUGAUGCCCUCCCUAUCUAAUUUAGACAACAGCUGAUCAACCAAUUUGACACAUCCUUGGCGGGCUAAUUUGGCAACCAUCCUUGAUGUUGUAUAAAUAUCAUGUCUAAAUCCUGGUUGAUAAGCUACCCAGCAGAAGAACUGCCAUGCUGUUUCAGCUGACUUGAAAUUUCUGAUCAUUUUGCAAACUAGCCGUGUUGUCCAUAUAAUGUUUGCAUCCUCUAAAGUUGACACCUCUUCAGGUCUCCACUGCUGCAAGGCACUAGCCAAAGCUGCAGGAUCUAACCAUGGUUUCAACUGCAUUUGAUCAACAGCACGACCAUCAACAUGGUUAGCAUCUUCAUCCUCAUCCUCCAUGUCAUCCUCACUGCCAUCCAAAGCAUAAGCUACAGUUUUAAUCCUCUCGUCCGGUAACAUUUCCCUCAAUAAUUCUUUUGUCUCCUCGACGUAGCCUGCCUCCUGCAGUUGCUGCAACGAGUUCUGCAUAGCUCGACCAGGCAAUAUACCAUCAAUUCGCAUCUCAUCAAGCAAAGUCUUCACCAAGUCUAUUUGAUCAUUUUGACAUAAUGCUGCAACCAAAACGGAAUACUGCUUCAAACUGCGUUUAAUACUCAUCUGUGGCAACAUUUGGAAAACCUGAAAUGCUGAAUCCAAGUUCCCUGAACCGAGAAGAUGCUCAAUGAUAACUGUGUACGUUCUACAAUUAGGAAGCGCCCCUUCAUCAAUCAUCCUACGGAAUACUGUCACCGCCUCAGUAUCGCUGCCAUUCUUAGCAAAAAGGCCCAUCACAAUGUUGUAAGACUCAGAACAAGGACGCUUCUGUGAGGCCCGCCACUCAUCCCACACGCUAGCAACCUCGUCAAGAUCUCCAGCAAGAGCAAACCAACGCAUCCGGUCCAUAAAGCUGACACGCGCAACAUUUGUAAACUUGCCAGCAUUGAUGGCAUUGAUCAGGGUUCUGAGUUUACCAGUUUGGCCAGAUUUUGCAAGUAUUUUGGCUAAUGUAUGAAGUGUUUGCUGAUUAUGCGAGAAAUUUGGAACAGUCUUAAGUACUUCAACCAAGGAAAGAGCAGAUUCAGGGGAAGGAGCUGAUCUUAGUGCAUUGUUGACUACAAAAGAGUCUAGAGCAGGACUAUGCAAAAUGGAAACAAGGGACGAUUCUGGUGAACUUGACCGAAGACUAAGCCUUAUCGAAUCAAUGAGCCUGGCCCUUUGGAGGCACAAGCUGACCUUAUCCACAUUUGGGCUACUUGAAAAAUGGCAAACUUGCAGAGCUAAAUUUCUUAAUAGGCAUGUGAUAUGGUUAAAACGGGAGAGUUUCAUGGGAACCCACUAGCCAAAAUCAAUUCUUUAUUCAAGACCAACCUAGAAAUCCAGAGUUGCUAAAGUUAUGGCAAUUACUUUCUGCGGCAAAUGAUCAAACAUGUGGACUGCAUGGGCAACCAAUUUUCUACCUUUGUCUAAGGUAUAGGUACGACCAGCAUACCCUGCAGUAAAUGGUCAAAGUGGUCCUUUCAUAGUGUCGCUGCUUGGCUUUGGCUUCAAAUGAAAAGAUGGGAACUAAAUGACGCAGCCUUGAACUUUGCGAGCGUUGAGACUUCAUAUGAGAUAUUACCGAGUUAUGAGCCUAAUCGAGCCAGUACUCUAGGGGUCAAGACUAGUCUGAUGUUAAAAAUUUUUAGUGCCACAGGGUCAAACCUCUCCUUGAAUUGAAAACAAGUUAACCUAGACCCCUUUUUUUUCCAUAGUAUAACUUGAACUCUUUUCUUGAAAGAAAAACUCAUAUCCAACUUUGUUCAUUUUGUCCAAGUUUGAUUUGAUUUGUUGAAAAAGGAACACAUGUUAAGUUAUCUAAUGACUUUGCUCAUCAUUAAUUACUUUAAUAAAUCACAAAUGGAACGUGAUAUUCUUAUAAUCAAUUGAAAUUAAGCACUUACUAAAAGUUUUAAAAUUUCUUGCUAUUCAAUUUUCUGAGCAUAAAGAAGUUAUCUUGAACCUCGUAAAAUAGUAUCAUUUGGUUGGACUUGCCAAGUUUUAGGCCCUGUUUGAUAAUUCAAUUCAUUACUUAAACUUAAUAGAUUCAAAUCUUAAUAUACUCAGACCGUUUGAUAACAAAAAAUUGAACAUCUGAAUUAAUUAAAUAACACUGAAUUUUCUAAGCAAAACUUGCACCCAAAAUUAAGUUAUCAGUUAUUCACUUAUCACUGAAUGUGAUAUGUACUCAAAUGUAUUAGAUUUAAUAUUUAACAAUUUAAUAAUUUAAUAAAUUCAGACUUCAGAUUUUAGAUUCUAGACUUCAGUUUUCAGACAUCUUUUAUCAAAUGCACCCUUAGUUUUUAACCAAAAAAAAAGAAAGAAAAAUAAUAGUAAGAUGGAAAGGACACGGUAGAAAGGGUAAGUUUCAUUUCUAAAAUUCUUUAAAAUUAGAUAAAGAAGUCUGACAUAGUUACUCAUGAGGCUAUUAUGGUUCCUCAGAACAGUAACCACUUUUGGUGGAAGCUUCCCUGUAUUCAUCUCUAAUCUUGGUACUAUGUUAAGCAGCUAAGUAUCCUAAUCACUAUAGUCAGAAGAAGAAAAUUCUGAGCCUUUAUUCAGAUUUCCCAUCUUCUCUCCG
RNAcentral lists this long non-coding RNA (55225 nucleotides) under Coffea arabica (coffee). RNAcentral describes it as "long non-coding RNA (CARA_LNC003558)". Lineage: Eukaryota; Viridiplantae; Streptophyta; Magnoliopsida; Gentianales; Rubiaceae. The record is from RNAcentral.